UAUAUUUGAUCGUUUAAUUCCAAUAUAACAAUCACACAAGCAAACUAAUUAAUUAAUAAACAUGAAGGUGUCUCAUGAUCUCUUGUAUUUGCGGUUUACGCAGGUCACCAAAAUAGCAAGAUAACUUUCAUAGUCAAUACAUAAUAUUUAGAGAUCGAAAAAAAUACUCUGAAACUACUGAGGUGUCUAGGUCUUAGUUUUGAAGUUUCCUACCCAAAAAGAAAAAACUAUGCCAUAAAAUUAUUCAAUUGAGGACAAUUCAACCGGUGAGAAAAUACUUGGAAUAUCGUUGCAUAUACACUAGCAUCCAGUUGCAUAUUUAGCCUACCACCUUUCUUAUGGACUCUUAUGAAUUUUUAUCGAUAAGCUAACAAGCUCCAACACGUCAAAAGAAGUUUUUUUUUUUUGAACAAUACGUCAAAAGAAGAAAUUAAUAAACAAAGACUUAAAAGAUAAACCAUUUAUUUGGUAUGCUAAAGUUUGAGGCAAAAAGCAAAAUGUGAAGAAGAAUAUAUUAAUAUAUCAAACCACCUGUUGGUGUUCAAAAAAUAUGAGGAACAUGUAAAGGAAGCACAUUUAUAAGAAGAAUAAACAUACACCACACCAUUGCAACUUAAUGAUACACUGCUAUAAAAUCCGAAUGUCAAUGUGGACUACUAGUAGGCACUGGUGUUGAUAUGGCUUCUCUCAGCUUGUAGCAAAACAAUCAACAAUUCUUCACCUUUCCAUCUAUGAGAAUAAUGUUCAAUUCAAACUCAUCGGUAUCCACCAUAUGGCCGUAUGAGAAUAAUGUUCAAUUCAAUCAACUGUUCUGCUGUGAUGUCAUCUCAGGUAAUGGUGCAAGAGGAAGAAUGUCAGCCAGAAUAUCAGUUUCCGAGUCUUGGGACAAAAACUGGAAAUUAGCAGAGAAAGGUCGAGUGUCACUGGGAGCAGAUGCAGAGUAUGGUACAAUAAAAAUGAGUCCCCAAACCCAAAGUUAGACAUGUCGGCAUUAAAACCAUCUGAUUGGGAUGGUUCAAUACUCUGAGGUGCAUGGUGUUGAGAUGGAGCAAUUUCAACAGAAGUAUCAGCCUUGAAUGGUGAAUCACCAAGCGGAUCUUCAAAAGACUGAAAAGUUGAACAAACAAAUACAUUAUUUUGAAUGAAAAUUAGCAAAUAGAAACAGAUAUAUCUUAAAUUAUUCAAAGCUAAGUUCUGAGGUAGAUAUCCUUUUUAAAAUUAGAAAACCAAUUUUUCAGAAUUCUACCUACUCAGUUUGUUCAACGACCAGGUUUAUUAUCAAGCCAUAUGGUGUAUUUCGUGACAGAAACUCUCCCACCCACACAUUAGUUACAGUUAUGCAUGCUAAAUCAAAAAGGGUGCAGACAAGCUAAACAUGAUAACUAGAAGAUUUCCAGUCAUAUACAAAUUCAUUCUCUUUCAUAGAAAGAAAAGAGUUCUUUAACUAAAACCUAGAAAUAACCAUACAGAUUCAUACCUCAUUGAAAUUAUUGGACCCAGAGGAUGGUGCUGCAAAAGAAGCUGUUGAACCAGUGUUUGCUUUGGGGGUUGAAAUUCCUGAUGUAGCGGGCCCAAGAGGCAAAGCAUUUGAAGAGAAUGAGUCUGAUAAAGAACCGAGCAAAUGGUAAGAAACAUACAGAUGUUAUGAGUUCAACAUUAUCCCAUUAAGCGGGGAAAAUUACAAAAUAUGUGUCCAACAAUUUAAACAAGAUCCAAGAUCCAACUCCCCAAAGGAAAUACAAUAUAAUAUACAACAUAAUAAUUUGACGUGCAAAUAAAAGUUCAACAUUACAAUCGCAUAAUAAUUUCGUAAACAGGGAAAGAUUUAGAAGAGUACUUUACACAAGCGACCAACACAACAUAAUAACAAGCAACUUUACAGACCUGAUGUAGGACCACGUGGGUCAAAGAAAUCAUCGGUGGGCUCAGUUUCCUGGGUAGAAGCAGCAGUACUAGCAGCAGCAGUUACUUCAGUUGGAUUAUUGCUUGCAGGAGAAGAACCAGUAGGAGCAGAAGUUAGGCUAGGAUUAUCACUUGCAUGAGGGGACGAGCCUCUUGGAGCAGAUUCUGCCGAAAUUUCAACAUCCCUGCAAUCAAGAUAAUAUUCAUAAGAGGUCAAUUUUGAACAAGUGUUGCCAGCCUCUUGUAUGAAAGUUCAUACCUUUCACCCUGCACAGGGCUCUGAGCUUCACCAACAGCCUCUUCAUAACUAGGAGGAGCACCCGAAUUUUGCUCAGAAAGUUUCCGCUGAAGUCUGCUUGUUUGUAUACAUGCGCGCGCGUGUGUGUGUGUGAGUGUGUGUGUGUGUGUGUGAGAGAGAGAGAGAGUGAGUGUGUGUGUGUGUGAAAAUAAAUAUCACAUGACUCCACACUCUAAAUGGGCACAGAUGUAAGUUGGACCACUUAAAUACCAAGGCUUUCCUUGAUAGAAUUCUCUCUGUGACCUAUUAACAAUACUCCACUUCACUUGUGUCAUUGAUGAGUAACUAUAGUAGUUUGAAUAAUUUUCCUAAUGAUGGAAAUUCAAAUCUAAUAGAGUAUAAUCACAGUUGUAUUAUUCUUUUUCUUCACCUAUUAAAUUAGAUUAGGUCGUCUACUUGUUAGGAGUAGCUCGCCUACUUUCUAUUAUAUUGGAACUAACCGCCCAUUCCCCAUUGUUUGUUGUUGUCGUCCUAACUUUGUCAUUGUUUUGCCAACAAAUUUUUCUACCAAAUUAUGUAUAUAGCAUUCCAAUAUAUCGAACUGUAACAAUAUCACCUGGAUUCUGAGAAUAUUAAUCACGAAAACUGAAGAUGUAUGCCACGUUCCAUUUUCUUUUCAUGUGCUGAUCCUCGUCUUGGGUUGUUGGCCCUGAGGGAAACAACAACGAACUCCUCUCUACUUGCUUUAUCGUUGAUCAUACAAAUUUGUCAUGUUCCUUUGUAGUUCAUGCCCUAUGCUCAACUUGGUACUCUCUUUAGUUAUAACAUCAUUGUAUAUAUGCAAGAUGCCAUGAAUUUAAAUCUAAUUACAUGUAACCGAAUCGAUAAUAUUUAAUAUGGUCACCGAAUAUCAUCUCAGAUGUUUCGUGGAUAUAUAUAAUAACAGAAUGUUAAGUGACCACUGAAUGUACAAACAUAUAGAAGUUACUAGUAGUUCAAUUAGCCAAAAAAGGUAUAGCCAUAAGAGGUCUACAGACUAUCCAACAGGAGACGAAAAGUCAUAGUAAACAAAUAGGCAUAACUAACAAAUAUAGAGGAUUGUGCACUCUAGAAGAACAAACACAUAGGCAUUGCAGCACAUAUAUUGUCUUUCACUUACUUGUUUGUUUAAGAGCUUUAUGUUGAUAUCAUAAUACAACUUAUUCUUUUCCAUCUCUGAAUUUUCUACACAGUUAAGAAUAAAGUGUAAACAAAUAAAGAAAGUUGAGCAGCUCCACUGUUAAUUACGUGAUGUUUUCUUAAGUUUACAUCACAAAUUUGUGUGACAGUCUUUAAUAUAUUCAUUGUGGACUAAUUAAUAUCAAACAUUCUUUAUUAAAUAACUAGUAAAUUUAGAUAACUUCUAAUUUUUCUCAUACUGAGCCACUUAAAGAACUAGUAAAAUAAAUAAGAAACACUUCUAGGCAUAUGAUAAUUGAACCAUGCUUUUACUAACCAUACUCUGAAUCCUUUUAUUAUUAAAAAACAGAAGUAUAAAAAACAAGAUAACCAUAACUUUGAAACCUGACAUGUGCUUUUUUUUUUUUUAAACAAACAUAUUCAUGUCGCCUAUCAAUUGAAUAAUAGAGAAGUGCAUAUGAAUCUAACAUGAUAAUUUAAUUGAAGACGACAUAUAUGGUAUAAAAAAUACACUCAAUACUCAAGAAAAUCCAUAAUUAAUAUUCAAUACUAAAUACAACGGCUCUCUCUAAGAAAACUUGAGUUGAAUUAUAAUUAUAUCAUCUCGCUUAAAUUGACCAUUACGUUUUGAAGAAUGAUAAGAAUUCAUAAUUUCUUAUUUUAUUUUUAUAUUUUAGAAUAACGAUACAACAAGGCCAUAAAACAAGAAAUUGGUUUACAAAAUCAAACAAUCGCUAGUAUGCACAGACACUAGUCAUAUACAAAAGAAAGAUUAAACCUGAUAAUUGUUGAGAGAUUUAAUAAUCUGGGAAAACACUUCCAUCACGUCUUUGUUUUGAGCUUUUGUUGCGGUUUCGUGGGAACAAACAACCAUACAAACCGAAUUAAACAGUUUGUCCAAAAGGACCAGUAUCAUGACGUGAGAUUUGAAGGAAGGAGUGGUGAGAACACGGCGGCGGGGAAGCAGUGAUCCAUCAGCAAGAUGAAUCAAUCGAUCUCUGGCUAUGCUAUUAAAUUUUCAUCGCCUCGACGUAGUGAUCGAAGGAUUCUGUCAUCACGGCGAUGAGGUAGUGAAAAAGGGUUUCCGAAUCACGAUUUGCGAUUCAGAAACGUGGUCAAGGUUAGUUUUACGUCUUCCCACAGACGGCGCCAUGUACUUGUUGAAAAAGUACGGUAAAGAGAAUUAGGGUUUUCUCUGUAUUUUAGGGUUUAGAUUGAUGUUUAGAUGCCUUGGGAAUGCUCUCAAGGUUGAUUUUUCUAGUCUAAUAUGGGCCUUAUCGUAGCAUAACUUCAUCCCCAAGGAAACUGGGCUUUUGGUCUUUUCUGCUCUUUAAGGCAGUUUGGGCGACUUCUAGAGGUUUCUAGAAGCUGAUAAUGGCGGUGUGUUAAGAAGGACGCGCCUGGGGCCUUGGAGCCCUUCUGGAGGGCGUUUAAGCAUUUCUGCAGGGCGCUUGAGCCCCCUGGAUGGCUCUUAAGGCUUUAGGAAUAUUAUGACGGUCCAGAUUGAUACGAUAGUAUGUAGGUGAAGCCUGCGUUACCCUCUCAUUAUUUGAGGGUAAUUUACCCUUCAUGAUAUCCACCAAUCAAAAUGAGUAAUGUGUACUUUAUCAAUUAAAUCAAACAUGGAAAUAUUUUUCACAUAAAUUUUUUAUUAUUUGCAUCUUUAUCCCAUAUUUAAAUUUUUGUUCUUCGUGGUGGUCGGAGGUUGCGAGGAUUAGGGAUGGGCUAGGGGUGGCGGCCAUGGGUGGUUUGGUGAUUGUGUGGUUCGGCGGGUAGGUGAUGGGGAAGCCACACAUUUUUGGCUUGAUUGAUGGUGUGGUGAUGUUGCAUUUCAGGAACGUUUUAGCAGGUUAUUUAAUUUAACUGUGAAUAAAUCAGUAACGGUUAAAGAUAUGUUCCUUCUUGGUUGGGGGGAAGGGGGUGGUGGUUGGCAAUGGCGUAGGAGGUUGUGGGUGUGGGAGGAGGAACUUUUAGCGGAGUGUAGGUUAUUACUUUCUGAUGUUUCUUUGCAGCCUCCUUCGUUUGAUGUUUGGCAGUGGUUACCGGACCCUUCCGAAGGUUACUCUGUUCGUGGGGUAUAUGAUAUGCUCACAAAUCAGGAGUCUUCUCAGGUUUUGUAGAAUGUUGAUUUAAUUUGGCAUAAACAGGUUCCUUUAAAGGUGUCAAUUUUUGCUUGGCGGCUGAUCCGUGAUCGCUUGCCUACCAAAUCAAAUUUGAGGGCGCGGGGAAUUAUUGACACGGAGGCUUGUCAGUGUGUUUCUGGUUGUGGCCAGGUGGAGGAUGCUCGUCAUUUUUUUUUGUUGUGUUCGUGCUUCGGGUCGCUGUGGCCUCUAGUGCGGUCUUGGAUUGGUUUCGAUGGUGUAGACCAUGAUGAUAUUUCAGCCCAUUUUAUUCAGUUUACUUAUUCUACAGGUGGUUUGAAAUCAAGGAGAACCUUUUUGCAACUUAUUUGGCUACUUACUGUCUGGGUUUUAUGGAAUGAAAGAAAUGAUAUAUUAUUUAAACAGAAAGAAUGCUCUUUAGUGCAGCUUUUAGACAAAGUAAAAUAUCACUCGUUGUGGCGGUUGAAAGUCAAGAAGGCUACUUUUGUUUUUGGUGAACACAUGUGGUGGUCUAGUCCUAUGUCGUGUUUAGGCAUUAGAUAGAUUAUUUUUGUAUGACUUGUAGACUGCUUUUCUUUUAGUGAUCUUUUCGGCACACCUUGUGCAGUAGAGAUUACUAUUGCAGUGUUAAUAUAUUACAUUUUUGCUUGUUAAAAAAAAAAAAAAAAAUUAUCUUUCUAAUUAAAAAAUUUAAUGAUGUAUUUUAUUUCCACAUUUCACAUGUGUAUUCAAAAAAUGGAAUAAAUAUAUUUAAACAAAAAUUAGAUACGAUACAAAUAAAAAAAAUAAUUAUUUCAUUACAAAUACAAAUUAUAUUCCUUACCAGUUUUUAUAAUAUAUAUAUAUAUAUAUAUAUAUAUAUAUAUAUAUCAUUCAAUUCAGAAGAAGUCGAAUAUUUUUUCGGUCAAUGUGAUAACCACAGUUUGACUAAUCUUUAUUUAAGUCUCAUUGUAGCUCAUAUAAUCAAUAAUAAAUUUCAAACCAUUGUAAAAAAAGAACAAGCCACAUUUCACAUAAUCACAAGUUAUGUUUCAUUAUAGUUCAUCUGAUAUACAAGUAAGGUCAAACCAUUGACAGAAAAUAACUAACAAUAGUUUCAUUGAUAACGAGUUAAGUCACACAACAGUUAAUGCAAUUUAGAAGAACGCUCAAACCUUUGUUAGAAAAUAAACAAACCACUGUUUGAGUAAUCAAAAGCGAAGUCCCACUAUAGUUCAUGUGAUUCAUAAAAUUGGUUGAACAUUAUUAUAAAAAGAUCUAACCAUAGUUUAAAGAGUAAAUUACACUCUUCUCUCCUAAAAGAUGCUUGAACAUUCUUAAAUGGUGUUUUAAAAUUAGUAGAUAUCGUAAAAAUAUUUAUUUAUAUUAAAAUAGAUUAAAGUGCAAUGCACAUUUAGUUAUUAAGGGAUGAGGUUAUAAAUUGUAAUUCAAGCAUCUCACGGGGGAGGGAGUAUAAGUUUUAUUUUUCAAGGCAGGAGAGUGUAUACUUUAACUUGACGGGGGGAGGAGAAGCAUAAGUUUGUUCUAGAAGAAAAGCUCGUUAUAGUUCAUUCAUCUGAUAGUCUGAUGGUCUACUGUAGUUAUAUCAAUAAAUUUACUUUUAAUUUUUUUAAAUAUUAUUAUUAUUAUUAUUAUUAUUUAUUAUUAUUGUUGUUGUUGUUUUGAAGAAGUCAAACUAGACCAUCGAUAUUGAAAUCGGAGAGAGUCGAACCCAAGACAUUGAAAAAAGCAUACUCCAAGGUUCAACGAGCCUUUCUUCUGGAUCAAAUGAAUUAUAAUGAGCCUUAACUUUUUAUUAAUUAAAUUGUGAUAUGAUUUUUUGAUAAAAGUUCAACCUUUCUUUUGCAUCAGGUAACCCAAAAUGAAACUCAAGAUGUGAUCAAUUAAAAUAGAGUAAAAUUCACUUAUCUCCCCUCUUAAGUUAAAGUAUACACUCCCCUCAUGAAAAAAAAUCAAUCUUUAGAUCACAUUUAUAGACCUCACAUAUAUUACUAGGUAAAGAAUAAGAAUAAUUUCAAAUUACAUGACUAGAAUAUGUGUUUUUAAUUUUACAUGGUCAUUUUCUAGACAUUGCGUAUCCUACAUGAUCAAUUUGAAGAAUUAACCAUCUGUUCUAAAUUAUAAGUCGUUUUGGAUCAAGGGAACCGUUGGUGAUGAGCUGGACGGUCGAGAUAGAAUCAGGGUGCGCGCCUAUGCGGUGAUCUGCAUGGGGAUAAGCGUGUUUGCUCACCGUAUUCACUCCAAUUCCAUUGGGUGUGGGUCUCACGGGCCCUGCUUUUAUGGGAUUCUAGCCGGUUAAGAACACUAUUAUACUCUUAACUAUUUAUUACUCUAUCAUCUUUUAAAUCUUUAAUUUAGCUUUUCCAUGUCAUUUAUUAAGGACAAUUUUGUAAAACAACUCAUAAUAUUUAUUUCUCAUACAAAAUUAAUUAUAUUUCUUAAUACGUGUGAGAUAUCCAAAAUGCCAUAUAAUUUAAAAUGGAUAAAGUAUAUAUUUUUUGAAGCAAUCAAGAGAUUAUAUAUUAAAAAUAAUCCUAUCAAGUAUAAGGUGUGUCUAAUAGAAAAUAACAAAUAAAGUAUCAAGUACAAAAUCAAACCGAACAAAAAUUGUCGUUACAAAACAUAACCAACACAUAUUGAUGGGAUUAAUCACCAAGAAUGAAAGUCAAAAUAAAAAGGCUAAAAUAUAAUAUUGGUCCCUGCAAAUAUAGCGAGUUUGGGUUUUGGUCCCCGAUAAAAAAAAUUUAAAAUUCAUCCAUGCAGAUUUUUUUGUUUUUAAAAAUAGUUCCUAGACCCACUGUCUUGUUGAUUUGGCUCAUUUUUGCUUAUGUGGCAGGCUAUGAAGUCCGGACACGAGAUACGAUACGGAUACAAUACUGCACCGAUACGCCGAUACGGGAAAAUUUCAAAAAUCAAGAUACGAUACGGCUGGGAUACGUUAAUAAAAAAAAUUAUAUAAUUAUGUACAAUAUAAUUAUAACCAUUUUUUUAAUAUGCAAAUAUAUUAACAAACAAAAGAAAGCAGUCAUAGGCUCGUAGCACAUCAACAUAAAUAUAAGUAAUAUUAACGAUUAAGAGAGUGAUGAUUAGUCAAUUACAUACACAAUAUAUCCCAAAAAGAGCAUCAUAAGUGAUAUACUAUAUCUAAAAGAUACAUUGUUAGUGUUAUACUAUAUCGAUCCAAAAAAGAAGCACUAUACUCAAGAGUUAAGUUAUUUUAGUUAACAUUGAUUGGGAAGUAUUGGGGCAGGUAUCGGUGCAGGAUAAUUAUCGGAUACUCUCCUGAUACUUAUCGGGAAGUAUCGGAUAAUUAUUUUUAAAAAAAAUAAAAUUUAAUCUUCGAAUACUCUCCUGAUACGUAUCAGGAAGGUAUCGGUGCAGGAUACACAGGGGAUACGAUACGUCAUCUAUUUUAGAGUAUCGGGGCUUCACAGGUGGCAGGUGCUGCUGACUGUACCAACUCUUCCACAUGGCAAAUACAUGGCAAUUCUAUUUUCUUAAACAUUUAUAAAUUAAUUAGUAAUAAUUAAAUUGUUUUUCAAAAUUAAGAAAACAUUUAAUUUAAUUAAAUAAAUAAAAUCAGAAAAGGAAGAAAAUUUGUAGGGUUUCAAUUUCCCCCUUUUCUUCGUAUAUCCCAAUCCCCACAUCAUUCUUAAUAGAGCUGUCAAAAUGGGCGACCCGACCUAUUUAGGGCCGGGCUUCGGGCUUUAGCGGGCCGGGCCAAAAAGGCCAGUUGAAAAACGGGCUUGAAAUAUACUACCCGAGCCCGGCCCUACACGGGUCGCGGGCUAAACGGGUCGGUCCGUAUUAAUUUUUAUUUAUUUAUUUAUUUUAAAAAAGUACUAUAAAAACUUCUAUAAUUUUUUUAUAAAUAAUAUUUUUAAUAUGUCUAGCACAAAAAUAAAUUGUAAACAUUUUCGUACAAACGUCGUAAACUAAAACGACGAGGAAAAUGAUUUUAAAUAAAUUAGAUAUGUUAUGGUUAUAGAUAUUUAUAUAUUCGAUCUUUAAAACUAUAAAUAACGAUACAAAUAAAUAUAAUUUUAUAUUACAUUUAUAUUUGUGUUAUUUCAUUGAAUUUUCACUUUUAUUUUUUACUUUGAUAAUCAAUUAAGUAAAGAAUUAUUUGAAGAAUAUAUAUAAUUUAUAGGAUUUUUUUUGUUAUGCGGGCUAACGGGCUACCCACGGCCCGUUCGGACUAGCCCUAACGGGUACCGAGCUUUUAAGGCCCGGGUUAAAAAACCCUAUUAAAAUUCGGGCUCAAUAUUUUAGGCCCAAACCCUAUAUUUAUUCGGGCUAAACGGGCCGGCCCGUUUUGACAGCUCUAAUUCUUAUGCUUGAUCAAACAUAAACAUUUCCAUAACCUAAUCAAACAUUUUGUGUGCAUCAUUUCAAUAUAAUCUAAACUAAACCUUCACAUUUCAAUAUAAUCAUUCACAUCUCAAUAUAAACUUCACAUUUCAAUAUAAACAUAAACAUAAACAUUCAAUAUAAUCAUUAUAAUCAUCAUUUCAACAUAAACAUUCACAUUUCAAUAAACAUAAACAUAACUAAACCUAAAAUCAUUCAAUAUAAUCAUCAUUUCAAUAUAAUUUGUGUGCAACAUUUCCAUCAUAACCUAAACAUCAUUCAAUAUAAUUUUCAUAACAUAAACUAACUAAAUAAUAAAUAAAAUUGUCAUUGAGGCAUUUUAUCAAACACUUUGUAUGCAAAGUAUCAAACAUACUCAAAAUAUGUUCAUUUGCCACCAUUCAAAACCACAUUAUACUCUAACAUCAUCCAAUCAUCAAUUAAAGCAACUAUAUUCAAUUAUAAACUACAUGCAAUCAUCAAAAAUUCAAUUCCUACAUAAACCUUAACCACAUGAAAACUACUCAAUUUUUUUAAAAAACUUAACCUAAACAAACUAACAUUAACAUUACAUUGAUUAAUGCUACUUACCUGUGAUAAUGUGGAGAUGAUUGCUUGCAAAUCGUGAAAAUGGAAAUUGGAGAAAUUUGAGAGAAGUUUGGUAGUUUUUGAGCAAUGAAGAAAUUGGAAAGUUGAUGUUUCUGUUUCUGCCUAUGUUCAAUUCGCAUCGGCAGUUAACUGCCAAGGAAAUCCUUGGUAGUUAAUUGCCGCCAGUUUUCUAAAACUUUGACAGUUAACUGUCAAGAGACAUUUAGAUAAAUUACUCGUGUGUCUCAGCCAAACAAAAUGUGUCAACAACAAUUCUCUUUUUGAAUUAAGAGGGUAACUGCUACGACUACAAUAUAGGAAAUCAUGGAGUGUCGUUAGGGAUGUCAAUGGACGGGGGCUAAUAUGAGUAGAGAAACAAACAACUCAUAAAAAUAUUCGAAUAACGUGUAAUAUAGUUGCAUGCCUUUUCCUCUAAGUGCUUUUUUAUAUAAAGUUCCUAUCUAAAAUUAGAAAGAGGACAAAAAAAAGUAGAGAAAAACGUGAUGCCAAGAUGUAAAGCAUUUAAGAAAAGAGGCAUUUCGUCACACAUUUUAAGUAACCAUCUAAGAAAGAGUAUUUGUUAGAAAAUAGUAGAGAAAGAGUGUGACACUCCAAACUCCAAUUCAAAACACAUACUAAAAUACAAGAAUUUUAAGUAUAAAUACACCUUGAAAUUCUAGGUAAAUAGAAAUUGGUUUAACCGUAUUUCAAAUGUAAAGCUUAGACAACACAUUUUAAAGCUUAGAUAACACGAAAGAUAAUUUACAUUAUUAAAAUAAUAUCUAGCUUUAGUGGAUUAAAUUGCUAAAGAACUAUUUAGUGAAAGUCCUUAUCUAAGGACCUAUGGGCCUAUGAAAAAAAUACUAGGAACACUCUUUUCUAGCAUUCUCUUUAACAUUCUCUCUAACACUCAUUAAUCUAUUGGGUGAAACUCAUGUGGGUCUCACCACUUUAUGUGGGAUCCAUUUUUAAUGUGUGAUACCCACAUGAAUUUCAUCCAAUAAGAGAGUGAGUGUUAGAAAGAGAGUGUCCAUAGCAUUUCUCAUGGGCCUAUAGUCCAAUGGUGAUUCAACAAUCAAGAUCCGUUUGGUUCGAGAGUUUUGGAGGGGCGGGGGAAUUUUUAAUUUGAAGUGUUUUGUUCAAUUUUUAGAAGGGGAUGUGAGGGGAGCAAAUCUCUUUAAAAUUUUAUUGCAUUGCAAUAAUUAUCCUUAAAUUAAUUCCAAAUCUCAAUAUUAACCUUGUAACAACUUUUAUUAUUAUUAGAUUAUUGUUAUGAAACUAUUAUAAUAAGAAGAACAAGAACAAGAUUAGAAGAACAAGAACAAGAUUAAAGAGAAGAAGAGAGAAUAGAGAGAGAAGAAAGAGGAUUAUAUUAUUCUCUUGUGAUGUACAAUUAGGUUACAUAUGAACUCUAUUUAUAGAGAAAUACAAUGACUUGGGAAGCAAGCACAAUAUGGCCCAAUAAGCUAAUAGUAUGACCCAAUAACCGAAUUGUUAUAUAGACAUCCACUUAUAAUAUUCAUAACACUCCCCCUUGGAUGUCCAUCGAGGAUAUGCCUCAUUAAAACCUUACUAGAGAAAAACCCAGUGGGAAAAAAUUCCAGUGAAGGAAAAAGAGUACAACAUCCUUUUGUGUUAUAAUUUGUCUCGUUAAAAACCUUACCAGGAAAACCCAAUGGGAUAAAACCAUGGUUAAGGGAAAAAGAGUGCAGAACACAUCUUUGUCUCCCCCUCAUAAAGACAAUUAUUGUGCUCGCGAUUUUCGGAUAUCAAACCAUUAAUUGAUUUGAAUCGUCAAUCUUUGAACUCUCAAUUUUUAUUCGUGGGAAGGGAAAAAAUGAGUAAAAACCCUUAUCGAGACUUUGGAUUCGGGGGUUGGUUUCGAAUAGGGAAGGUGUUAAGCACCCUAAACGACUUCGGUACUCCGAAGGAACCGCUUACCUAGAUUAUCUUGUGCUAAACUACUUGUUUAUUUGAAAAAUUAUUGCCUAAUGUCUAAGUGAAAGAAUGGAGGGAGAAGAAGUAUGCUUUUGGUUAUUUUUAUUUGAUUUGGAAGGACGAGUCCUCUGCCUACGUACCCUUUUUGGGAAAGGGAUCAAAACCGACGUAGUUCCACUCAAGAAUUUCUUUGGUGGGUUAGGUUGAUUUUAAGAUUUUUUCGAAAAUGGGUUUUAAGAAGAGAAAGAGGCCUCAAGGCAUGAGAUAAAGAAAACAAGUGAGGUUGAUUGAUUUUAAAUUUUGAAAAUGAUUGAAGUUGAAUUAAAAUUGAUUGAGAAUUUGAUUAAGAAAAUAAAGGAAAAAAGUUAUUAAGAAAAAGAUUUUUGAAGUUUUGCAUAUUUGAUUUUUUUUUGUGAAAAAUGAUUUUUUCUAAGCUAACGGUGAAAACUAACGUAACGUCGUAAAAAAUUAACGGAAAGCGGUAAAUAAAAAUGUGGUAGUGUCGGUGCAUGUGUCGGUGCUUGUGUUACCUACAUUAUUACAUCAAUUCCUAAAUACAACCCUAAGGCCUUUAUGCCAAAAUAAAAUGCAAGAAAUAAAAUUACAUCAAUUCCCUAUUUAUACAUACUAAGCCAAUGACAAGAUAAAAUGAUGAGAAAAUUAAAUAUGCAUGCUAUGAUUUAAGACAAAAAUUAAAUGGUUAGUAAUCACAAGAAAUAUUAGGAUGAAUGAGACAUAAGAAAUAAUAAGCAAGAAUUAAAAUAAUAAAAAAUUUUAAGAUCAUCAUAUAAGAAAUAAUAAAAAAAACAAAUUAAAAGGAAAAAAAUAGGAUGGAUUUUUAACAAUUAUAGAAAAUUAAAAUAGUGAGAAAAACAUUUUUUGGAAUUUUUCUAAACAUAAAAUGUCAAAAAGAAAUAAAAAAACAGCAUUUAAAAAAUAAAAAUAAUAACAAAUGAAAAUAAUAAAACAUUGCUCAGCAGGAUUAAUUCUGGACCAUUGGAUUAAAUCAAUGGUCCAAAUUCAAACCUUGGUUUCAUCAUAGCCAUAGGAUCUAAGAUCCAACAGUUGGAUAAAAAAGAACAUGGAAUACUGCAAGCAAGGAACACGCAUGUAAUCUAACAGAAUCAUCCUUGACCGUUAGAUUAAAAAUCAAACAGUCUAGAUCUGAAGGUGUACUAAAUAUCACCAUAGAUUGCACAUGCAUGACCGUUGGAUUAAAAAAAAGAAAGGAUCUAAAGGUUCAGAAUGAAAGGAAAGAGGAAACAUAUAGACCGGUCCGGUUCAAAUGAACCUGACCGGUUCACACAUGCCUAUAAAAGUGAUUGGGACCGGUUUUUUUUUCAUAUUUCCUCCUUUCUCCCUCUCUCUAAAACACUUUUACUCUCCCUUCUCUCUAGAAAUGGCAGCGCCCAUACUCCUUCUUCUCCGGCGAGGCAAGGUUUUCCAGCGCGGUGGCCGGUGGUGGCACCACCGCGCCGGAGUUUCAAACUCCUCUUUUUUUUAAAAAAAAAACAGUUUCUAAAAUCCUUUUUCGUUCUAAACCCAAAUCCGGUCUCAGAAUUUCCAAAGCAAGCUCGUACAAGUCUAGAUCUAGGAACAAAGAUUCAAAGAAAAAUGCAAAAAACUACCUCUACUUUCUCUCUCCGGUUCGUGGCUCCCUCUCCGGUUCGUGGUCCGGUUUCCUCCGGUUCGUGGCUCCCUCUUCCGAUUCGGUUUAGUUCUUACUUGCUUUUGUGAUUAUGUUUGAGUUUUGUGAGUUUAUACACGAUUCGGAUCUGUUUGUUACUGUUUGUGGCCGUUUGUGAUGUUUGGAUGAUGAUGAUUUAUGUGUUAGUGUGGAGCGAUUCGAGGUUUGGUGAAAGGAUACGAAAAUGAUUGUUAAAAGAAUGGUUCACAUGAUUUUCGAAUUUGAAAUGUUCAUGAAGUUCGUGAUUUUUUUUUCUGGUUCUUUUUGAGAGUUUGAUCUGAAAAUGUGGAGAGAGGAUAUGAAUUUAGUGUUUGUGAACUGUUGUGGCUGUUGAUUGAUGUAUCAGUGUAAUAAUUUCUGUGCAGCCCCCUUUUUCCAAUGAUUGGCAGUGUACUUAUAGUGACAAACUAGGGUUGGCUCUGGUACAAACAAAUGACCAAAAUGCCCCUGCAGCUGAGACUUGGAGAAAAAGAUUUGACCAAAAAGAUAAAUAGAUAAAUAAAAAAACAAAAUGAAUAAAAUGAAUAAGAAAAUAAUAAAAAAAAUAAAAAGAAAAGAAAAGAAAGAAAGAGGUCACGUGAGUGACUUCUUUUUGUUUUUUCUAAAAAAAAAAAAAAAAAAUAAAAAAGAAUAAAUAAUAAUAAACAAACUAGCCUAAAAAGAAAAUAAAAAAGUCCCUUCGGAAUCUGACAUGAGGUACUUCAAAGUAUCCUCCCUGCCGAAAUUUCGAUUGAAAAGAUUAAUAAAAAAAACGCCUUUUAAAAUGCGAUUAGCCAUUUUAAAAUGACUUGUCUGUUAUGACUAAAAGGAUUAUAAAAUGCGUUUAUAAAAAUGCAAAUGGAGUGAUUUUAAAUGUUGUAAAAAAUGCAAGCGAGGACUUAAAUGCAAGAUGAAAGUUUUUAAAUGAUUAAUGACGAAAAACACGAGUUUUAAAAGGUAAAAAAACGAAUAAAAGAGAAUCUGAACUAUUAAAAAAUGUGGACAAAAAAGAUUUCAAAUGGUCCAAAUUUGGGGUAUGACAGAUGCCCCUAUUUAAGUUUCUUCGUCACGAAGGGUUUAAAAGGGGACCUUUUAAACCAAAGGGUCGAGGAGACUUAAAUAUAUAAAAAACGCCAAUUUUGGACCGUUUGAAAUGCCAGGGAUGUGAUGCUGAUGAAUGUGAUGAUAUGACUGAACAUGAUGCAAGUAUGAAUGUAAAGAUAAUGCAUAAAGACUGACUGGGGUUCAAUUGGAUAGGUAUCACUGGGGAAAGAACUGAUAAAUAAUGCUUAAAGUCGCCGUGAGAUAGCUUGAAACAACUAGAGUAUGAACGAUGAUGUUUAUUAACGUUGCUUCAAGAUAAGAUAAGGAUAUGAUUAGCCGACGAGUGGCAACAGUAAAGACAUGAUUUAGCCGACGAGUGGCGAAAGUAAAGACAUGAUUGGCCGACGAGUGGCGAAAGUAAAGACAUGAUUGGCCGACGAGUGGCGAAAGUAAAGACAUGAUUUAGCCGACGAGUGGCGAAAGUAAAGACAUGAUUUAGCCGACAAGUGGCGAAAGUAAAGACAUGAUUGGCCGACAAGUGGCGAAAAUAAAGACAUGAUUGGCCGACAAGUGGCGAAAGUAAAGACAUGAUUUAGCCGACAAGUGGCGAAAGUAAAGACAUGAUUAAGCCGACAAGUGGCGAAAGUAAAGACAUGAUUAGCCGACAAGUGGCGAAAGUAAAGACAUGAUUGGCCGACGGGUGGCGAAAGUAAAGACAUGAUUGGCCGACGGGUGGCGAAAGUAAAGACAUGAUUUAGCCGACGAGUGGCGAAAGUAAAGACAUGAUUUAGCCGACAAGUGGCGAAAGUAAAGACAUGAUUGGCCGACAAGUGGCGAAAGUAAAGACAUGAUUGGCCGACGGGUGGCGAAAGUAAAGACAUGAUUGGCCGACGGGUGGCGAAAGUAAAGACAUGAUUUAGCCGACGAGUGGCGAAAGUAAAGACAUGAUUUAGCCGACGAGUGGCGAAAGUAAAGACAUGAUUGGCCGACAAGUGGCGAAAGUAAAGACAUGAUUGGCCGACAAGUGGCGAAAGUAAAGACAUGAUUGGCCGACAAGUGGCGAAAGUAAAGACAUGAUUUAGCCGACGAGUGGCGAAAGUAAAGACAUGAUUUAGCCGACAAGUGGCGAAAGUAAAGACAUGAUUGGCCGACAAGUGGCGAAAGUAAAGACAUGAUUGGCCGACAAGUGGCGAAAGUAAAGACAUGAUUUAGCCGACAAGUGGCGAAAGUAAAGACAUGAUUAAGCCGACAAGUGGCGAAAGUAAAGACAUGAUUAGCCGACAAGUGGCGAAAGUAAAGACAUGAUUGGCCGACGAGUGGCGAAAGUAAAGACAUGAUUGGCCGACGAGUGGCGAAAGUAAAGACAUGAUUUAGCCGACAAGUGGCGAAAGUAAAGACAUGAUUGACCGACAGGGUUUGCUAACAUUGUGGGAUAGCGCACACACGGUAAAAAAUAAAGGCAAGACAGACCAUUGGCAUUUGCUAAAAGCAAAGCCUCCGGUGAAAGUAAAGACAAUGUAAAGCUUGGUAUCAGGGGAGUGACUUGAUAAAGAUAAAGUUGAGGGGAACAAGGAAUUUGUCUGAAGACAACGGGGAAUUGUAUAGACUGAUUACUGGUGAGACCUGCCCCUUUGGAACAUGUUUGAUUUGAUGACAUUUUGGAGUUAGACACACUGGGGGUGAUAUCUAAGGAUAUUGAAAUAAGUCAUUUGGUAAAAAUGCAACUAUGUAUGAAUGAUCUUUAUAUGCGUGCUAUGUAUGCAUGAAUGAAUGAGUAUGUAUGAGAUUUGUAUAACAAUGCAAUGGUAAGAUUGGUUGAGACCAGAUUGGGCAUGUCCACAAGGAGAAUAGUCCGGCAUCACUGUGCGAACACUCGAAACUUUCGUUGGGGACAAAGUCACUGGAGAUGAAAUCAAGCCACUGUUGGGGUAAGACCCAAUGGUCAAAAGCUGGGGUAGAAGUCGCCAUUCCACAAACACAAUGUCGUACUGUCUUUUCUGAAUAGUCAUUGCUUUUUUGUAUAUAUUUUGAAAUCCCUAACUUUUGCCUGGAUCGCCCUUUCGGAUUUUGGAUCCACCGGGGAGGUAUUUUUCGUGUGCCCCUAAUUUUUUGCCUGGACCGCCCUUUCGGGUUUUUGAUCCACCAGGGCGCUCAUUUUUUUUGUUUUUUUUUUUUUUUUGUUUUUUUUUUUUUUUUGCAAUGACUACUGCUUCUUCGUUGAACCUGUUAGUUUCGGACCAACUGUUGACACAUACUUCUGUAUUUUCAAACUGUUCGAUGGAGAACAUGUCGUUUGAAAUACUGAGGAAGCGAGGUAAAAUGGAUUUCCAAACUGUUCAAAGAAGAACGUGCCAUCUGAAAUAUUGUGGAUUGGUGACAUCUCUGGAUCAGCCACACUAGUGAUGACGCUUUGAAUGAGAUACAAUUGAAAUAAGACACUGGAUGGUAAUGCAAUUUAUGUAUAAAUGAUAUUUGUAUGCAUGUUAAAUGUGCAUGAAAGUUAUAUGCAUGUAUAUGUAUAUGAAUGAAUGUAUGAAUAUACGCAUGAAACUUGUAGGACCGUAUGACUGUAUCUAACAGGUGAAACUGACAAACAAGACUGGAUAGGUAAGAUAGGAGGUUGAAUGACAUCGCAGUACAAACACUCAGCAAUCUUCAUUGGAAAUAAAAUCACUGGCGAUGAAUCAAAUUAAUGUUGGGGUAAAGCACGAUAUCAAACCACUGGCAGGGGAAACAAACCAUUAAUCAGACCACUGAAGGGAGAAUGCCCCAUAAUCAAACCACUUGAAGGGAAAAUGACCCAUUAAUCAAACCACAAGCAGAAGUUGCCAUUAAUCAACCCACAUGCAGAAAUCGCCUUCAAUCAAACCACUAGAGAGGUACCAACCCAUGUUUUGGCAGAAGUCGCCAUACAUCAAACCAUAGGCAGAAGUUGCCAUUUGUAAACCAAAACCGAGUGCAUUCUUCCAUUUGACCCUCUUGCACUGUGAUGUCUCUGUCUCUUUUUUUUUUAUUUCAUUUUUUUUUUUUUUUUUAUAUUUUUUGAAUCCCUAACUUUUGCCUGGACCGCCCUUUCGGGUUUUCAAUCCACCGGGAACAUGUUCUUUUUGUUUGUAUGCCCCUAAUUUUUGCCUGGACCGUCCUUUCGGGUUUUCAGUCCACCGGGACGCUCAUUUUUGGCUUAAACCGCCCUUUCGGGUUUUCGACUUAGCAAGCUUUUUACUUUUUUUUUUUUUGACAGAGGUCAUCUCACAGCUUUUAGUCAUGCCAACCUUGCAGAGUUUAACUGUCCUUGAGACGGAUGUUGAUGUAUGUUUCACCUGCUCAUAAGUUCAAAGAACAUGUACUUGCUGUUUAUGCUUUUCAAAAGACAUGAUAAAAGUUUUUUUUUUUUUUUUAAAAGAUUUUUUUUUGAAUUUUUUUGCUUUAGGUAUUAACAUCAAAAAUAGAAGAAAAAUUUGCAAACAGAAUAAAUGAGAAUUUUAAAUAAAUGGGCACAACCUCAAGUUAAUGUAAAUGGAAUGGUGGCCUGCCAAGGCGUGGCUCCACAGAUUUUAAAAGUUUGGAAAAAUGGUAAUUAUAUGGAAAAGGUACGUUGAACACAAUAACCACUGUUUCCUCUACCAACUUGGAAUUCCACUGUUUUGAGUCUUUGAUUUGCAGACGCUUCAGAUCGGAAGCCCUUUAACAGCUAAGAUGCCCCAGAUGAAUCAUAUCUGAUUUGAUGCAAUUACCUUGCCAUGAGUCGGAGGUCUUUUGACGGCUGAAAUGCCCCAUAUGAGUCAUGUCCGACCAGAUGCAGUUACUUUGUCAUGAUCCUUAACUUUUGCAUAGAUCGCCCUUGCGGGUUUCAACCUAUCAGGAUAAUCAUUUUUUUUUAUAUGUCUCUAACUUUUGCAUGGACCGCCCUUUCGGGUUUUCAGUCCAUCGAGACGCUCUUUUUUUGCCUAAGCCGCCUUUUCCGGUUUGCGACUUAUCGAGCUUUUUCAUUUUAACAAAGUAUUUCUUGACUGCAUCGGUAUACACAGGACAUACAAGUUUAACCUCAUGCUUUGUAUUAGGCAUUCAUUGCUCCUGGAGUUUGUUUAAAUCAGAUAGCAUAACUUUUGAGCACAAUGCCACUCUCUUGACAUUCAUGGGGACGAGCCUUCUCUUGUUGAAAACAUGCUUUUGAUACAAUUGUUCACGCCAUACGGCAAUAACACUUUUAAAUUCAAUCAAGUUUAGCUUUCAUUGGAACUCCCGUUGAUGGGACUUUGACCUUCAUGUGAGGCAUUGCCUUUAUGUUGUAUACUGAGGGAUGGAGGGGGGGGUUGCCCCUGCUGAAGUGUUUACUUGAAGUACAAUAUCCUUGCAAGGAAAAUGGUGGCAUCUCGUGCCAGUCUUUGUACAUGAAAGUCCUCUUCUAGACAAUCUCUUUUGAUAUUUGCAGCUUCGACGGCCAAGAUGCCCCAGUAGGCGAGAAAUAUCAGUGGAAGCUUCUUCAUCAUCCUCUUCUUCAACCUCGGAUACAAGGAACUCAAAGUCGAGAGAGAGUACAUGGUUUAAGUGUUCAACGGGUUUAUUAAUGCAUGAUUUGAUUAUUGAUAUAAACAUUAUGAUUAUGCAGAUAUGUGGAAAUGAUUAAAGAAACAGUUUUUUUUUUUGGUUUUUUGUAUUACCAUUUUUCCAGAAAAAGCACAAAAUAAAACAAAGUCGGGAUCAAGACGACCUUUCACUAAUGAUGAAAAUACAUAAGCAAAAAUCCCUAAACAAAUUCACUCUCGCCUCGGGUGGGACGAAAGGAUUUUUUUGGAAAAACAUAAAGCAACAAACAAACAUAUUAUUUGAACAAAAGAGUAGUAGAAAUAAACAUCAACAAAUACCAAAUUGCAACUAAACACUCCACAUGCCACCACAAGGUCCAAAGAUCCGAUAGAGGAUUAACUUGCACAUUCAGAUCCAAACUCUUUGAAAGGUAUGAGAUCGUCUUCAAUCAGUUUCUGGACCGCAAUCUUCAAAGAAAAACAGCGCUCGACAUCAUGACCUUGUGCCCCUUGAUGGAAAACACAAAAGAGAUCAGGUCUCCAUCGAGCCGGCAAUAUUUUCGGUAUCGGAGGAGGUGGUCUGGUUUGGACAAGGUUCCUCUCAAGCAAAUAGGGAAGCAACUUUGCAUAUUUAAUUGGAAUUGGAUCAAAUUUUAUUCUUGGAGCCUGUAGUCGAGGUUGUUGUUGAUAUUGUUGAGAUUGGGACUGAUAACCCAGAUCUUGGACCGCGUUCAUGAUGGGCAUAACAGCAGAAACAGAGAGAGGAGCCAGAUAUUGUUGUUGGCUUGGUUGAAACUGGGGUUGAUAACCCGGAUCUUGAACAUUGGUGAUGGGUGUAACAGCAGCAACAGAGUGAGAAGCCAGAUGUUGUUGUUGAAGUAGCACUUUUAUAUCUAGGUCUUCGAAGGACCAAGCGUUAUUUUCAAUCAACUUCUGAACUUUUUCCUUCAAAGGAUAGUACUGCUUAGUGUCAUGAUCUGGUGCCCCUUGAUGGAAGGCACAAUUGCGGUCAGGACGAUACUCGGGAGGCAGCGUAUUUGGCACAUGAGGAGGUGACGAGGUUUGAACAAGGCUCGUCUUCAGCAAAAUGGGAAGCAAAUCCGCAUAUUUCACAGGAAACGGGUCACACUGCGAUGCUUUUUGGGCCUGAUUUUGAGGUAUAAGCGGUUGAGGAGACUGAUCUUGAGGGAUAAACCGCUGAGAACCCUGUUGUCGAGACCGUUUCAUGCAUAUUGGCUGACAUAGUGCCUGAGGCCUUUGUUGGACAAGCGGUGGAUCCUUUGUAGCCAUCAAUGAAGAUACAAGGCUAGUUAACUUCUCUACCUCAGCCCGAAGUGUUGUUACUUCUCCACGAAGCUCGUGGACCUCUUGCUCAAGUUGAUCCAUCUUUUGUGUUUGCACGAGUGUCUGCAUAUGUGAGCCGAACUUGGAUGAAGACAUCUGACCACUUUACUAAUGAAUUGACCCUUUUAUGGAGAAGACACAGUGUGAGAUACAGACUAGAAACUAUGAAUGCAAAAUGAUGCAUGAUAUGCUUAUGCAAAAAUAGAUUUUUUUUUUUUUUUUUUUGAAGGACUUGUUAAAGUGAAAUGUAAACAUGGCAGAGGAACAUGGUUUCAUUUGAAAAUUGUCAAGAUAUUUACAAUAGGUUUCUUUUUCAAAAGGUAAGAACGAAACCAAGGAAGAAGUUCUUUAACAUAAGCUUAGUUAAGAUUUUGGAAGUUGUAUUUCUCGGUGUUCAUUCUUACAAGGUCCAUAUCCGUGAUGUUUACAAAAACUUGUCUAAGUCCUUCAAAAAAAAAAAAUUUUUUGAUGGAAAAGGUUGUUUAUGAAUGAAUGCAUGUAUGCAUGGUUAUGCUAAGUGGAUAGAAUACAUGGUGAGGGUAAGUUCCACGACGUUGGAGUCAAAGGUAACAACGCCAUUUGGUAAGGACUAUGGUUUCAAAUGUACCUGUAUCACGGGUUCUACCAAGUUCCCAAAGUCUUUAACCACUUCCGAAUAUUUAUCGGGUGACAGGAGUACUCCCAUUCCAAUUAUAUUCGUCGGAAAGUCUCGUUUGGGUGUAGUAUCGCGUAUCAACUAAUUCAAGAGUACUCUCGAUUAGCCACCGCACUACGUCCUAAAAGGCCAAGAGGGGUUAAAGGUGACUAAAGGUCCUCAACUUCAAAGGUCACUUGAAAAUAGUAUGCCAAACAUGAGUACUCACGUUGACGACAUAUACUUCCAAGAUCCCUCCGUUGAGUGGGGUUAUCACAUGUGCCAAUACCGAAGAGUACUCUUGGCAUGGAACUAUGAUUAUACCGCCGUCCUAUCUUAAGUUUCCCUUAAGCUCGGGUGUAGAGCUUAUCUCACCACUCACGUAAUAAAGUAAACAUGUAAGCAAAAUAUUUACAAAGCAUAAACAAAUAAUAAAGCACAAAAUAAAGAAAGUAAGGUGGGUUUAACCCGCGUAGGAUCUAUGUCCCCAGUGAAGUCGCCAUUUCUGUGCUCGCGAUUUUCGGAUAUCAAACCAUUAAUUGAUUUGAAUCGUCAAUCUUUGAACUCUCAAUUUUUAUUCGUGGGAAGGGAAAAAAUGAGUAAAAACCCUUAUCGAGACUUUGGAUUCGGGGGUUGGUUUCGAAUAGGGAAGGUGUUAAGCACCCUAAACGACUUCGGUACUCCGAAGGAACCGCUUACCUAGAUUAUCUUGUGCUAAACUACUUGUUUAUUUGAAAAAUUAUUGCCUAAUGUCUAAGUGAAAGAAUGGAGGGAGAAGAAGUAUGCUUUUGGUUAUUUUUAUUUGAUUUGGAAGGACGAGUCCUCUGCCUACGUACCCUUUUUGGGAAAGGGAUCAAAACCGACGUAGUUCCACUCAAGAAUUUCUUUGGUGGGUUAGGUUGAUUUUAAGAUUUUUUCGAAAAUGGGUUUUAAGAAGAGAAAGAGGCCUCAAGGCAUGAGAUAAAGAAAACAAGUGAGGUUGAUUGAUUUUAAAUUUUGAAAAUGAUUGAAGUUGAAUUAAAAUUGAUUGAGAAUUUGAUUAAGAAAAUAAAGGAAAAAAGUUAUUAAGAAAAAGAUUUUUGAAGUUUUGCAUAUUUGAUUUUUUUUUGUGAAAAAUGAUUUUUUCUAAGCUAACGGUGAAAACUAACGUAACGUCGUAAAAAAUUAACGGAAAGCGGUAAAUAAAAAUGUGGUAGUGUCGGUGCAUGUGUCGGUGCUUGUGUUACCUACAUUAUUACAUCAAUUCCUAAAUACAACCCUAAGGCCUUUAUGCCAAAAUAAAAUGCAAGAAAUAAAAUUACAUCAAUUCCCUAUUUAUACAUACUAAGCCAAUGACAAGAUAAAAUGAUGAGAAAAUUAAAUAUGCAUGCUAUGAUUUAAGACAAAAAUUAAAUGGUUAGUAAUCACAAGAAAUAUUAGGAUGAAUGAGACAUAAGAAAUAAUAAGCAAGAAUUAAAAUAAUAAAAAAUUUUAAGAUCAUCAUAUAAGAAAUAAUAAAAAAAACAAAUUAAAAGGAAAAAAAUAGGAUGGAUUUUUAACAAUUAUAGAAAAUUAAAAUAGUGAGAAAAACAUUUUUUGGAAUUUUUCUAAACAUAAAAUGUCAAAAAGAAAUAAAAAAACAGCAUUUAAAAAAUAAAAAUAAUAACAAAUGAAAAUAAUAAAACAUUGCUCAGCAGGAUUAAUUCUGGACCAUUGGAUUAAAUCAAUGGUCCAAAUUCAAACCUUGGUUUCAUCAUAGCCAUAGGAUCUAAGAUCCAACAGUUGGAUAAAAAAGAACAUGGAAUACUGCAAGCAAGGAACACGCAUGUAAUCUAACAGAAUCAUCCUUGACCGUUAGAUUAAAAAUCAAACAGUCUAGAUCUGAAGGUGUACUAAAUAUCACCAUAGAUUGCACAUGCAUGACCGUUGGAUUAAAAAAAAGAAAGGAUCUAAAGGUUCAGAAUGAAAGGAAAGAGGAAACAUAUAGACCGGUCCGGUUCAAAUGAACCUGACCGGUUCACACAUGCCUAUAAAAGUGAUUGGGACCGGUUUUUUUUCAUAUUUCCUCCUUUCUCCCUCUCUCUAAAACACUUUUACUCUCCCUUCUCUCUAGAAAUGGCAGCGCCCAUACUCCUUCUUCUCCGGCGAGGCAAGGUUUUCCAGCGCGGUGGCCGGUGGUGGCACCACCGCGCCGGAGUUUCAAACUCCUCUUUUUUUUAAAAAAAAAACAGUUUCUAAAAUCCUUUUUCGUUCUAAACCCAAAUCCGGUCUCAGAAUUUCCAAAGCAAGCUCGUACAAGUCUAGAUCUAGGAACAAAGAUUCAAAGAAAAAUGCAAAAAACUACCUCUACUUUCUCUCUCCGGUUCGUGGCUCCCUCUCCGGUUCGUGGUCCGGUUUCCUCCGGUUCGUGGCUCCCUCUUCCGAUUCGGUUUAGUUCUUACUUGCUUUUGUGAUUAUGUUUGAGUUUUGUGAGUUUAUACACGAUUCGGAUCUGUUUGUUACUGUUUGUGGCCGUUUGUGAUGUUUGGAUGAUGAUGAUUUAUGUGUUAGUGUGGAGCGAUUCGAGGUUUGGUGAAAGGAUACGAAAAUGAUUGUUAAAAGAAUGGUUCACAUGAUUUUCGAAUUUGAAAUGUUCAUGAAGUUCGUGAUUUUUUUUUCUGGUUCUUUUUGAGAGUUUGAUCUGAAAAUGUGGAGAGAGGAUAUGAAUUUAGUGUUUGUGAACUGUUGUGGCUGUUGAUUGAUGUAUCAGUGUAAUAAUUUCUGUGCAGCCCCCUUUUUCCAAUGAUUGGCAGUGUACUUAUAGUGACAAACUAGGGUUGGCUCUGGUACAAACAAAUGACCAAAAUGCCCCUGCAGCUGAGACUUGGAGAAAAAGAUUUGACCAAAAAGAUAAAUAGAUAAAUAAAAAAACAAAAUGAAUAAAAUGAAUAAGAAAAUAAUAAAAAAAAUAAAAAGAAAAGAAAAGAAAGAAAGAGGUCACGUGAGUGACUUCUUUUUGUUUUUUCUAAAAAAAAAAAAUAAAAAAAAAAAAGAAUAAAUAAUAAUAAACAAACUAGCCUAAAAAGAAAAUAAAAAAGUCCCUUCGGAAUCUGACAUGAGGUACUUCAAAGUAUCCUCCCUGCCGAAAUUUCGAUUGAAAAGAUUAAUAAAAAAAACGCCUUUUAAAAUGCGAUUAGCCAUUUUAAAAUGACUUGUCUGUUAUGACUAAAAGGAUUAUAAAAUGCGUUUAUAAAAAUGCAAAUGGAGUGAUUUUAAAUGUUGUAAAAAAUGCAAGCGAGGACUUAAAUGCAAGAUGAAAGUUUUUAAAUGAUUAAUGACGAAAAACACGAGUUUUAAAAGGUAAAAAAACGAAUAAAAGAGAAUCUGAACUAUUAAAAAAUGUGGACAAAAAAGAUUUCAAAUGGUCCAAAUUUGGGGUAUGACAAUUAUAUAUGAGACGAAGAAGUUUAAACAAUCUUUUAUGCUAGUUACUCAAAAUCUUUACUUGACGGUGACUCUGUAGAAAUAUAUGAUAUAUCUCCAUACUCUUCUCCAAAUUAGCAGCUCUUGAGAUAUCUUCAUAUUGAGUUGUUGAAAGAACCUUCUUUUAAAAUUAGAAAACCACAAGUUUCUUGUAUGUGUGAAAUCAUAAUCCUUAAUAAAGAGCAUUCUCCACUUCCUUGGCGUAGUGCUAACAUAUUCAAAUGAUUGGAUGAUAUCGUUGUUUCUCUAAGAUACAAAUUGUAUGUUUGACUUUGCUGCAAUAUCUGUAUUUACUAAUAUUGACAACAAAAAAAUACCACGAUAUAUAUAUAAUAAGCAAAAUGCGUUCGUGUCCUCACCUGACCAAUUCAAAUUGUUCAUGAUUUUCUUGAGGACAUGAUCUUUACUCACAUCAAGUGACAUCACAAUCAUUCUAGUACAUAAUCAAUUAGAUUUGUCCAUAAAAACAUUUAUAUAACAAAAUUUAGAAUCUCUUCAGGAGUUCUAAUAUAUAUAAUAUUAUAACAAAUUCAUUUCAAAUCCUUAAAAUGGACGAAUGAUGUCAUCUUUCCAAUAGAUUUGAUAGUACGUUUCACUCAAAUGAAAUCCUUCAAGUAGUUUCAUAUAAUACAAAUAAAUUGUAGCACAUUUUCAUAUAAUUUGAGCCUUUCAUGUGCUACUGAACUUAAUCAAGUAUGAAAAAGUUAUUGGAUUCACUUCUGGUGAAUAUGUCUUUUAAAAUAAAUGGUAGACAUUUAUCAAUUCACUUCAGGUGAACAUAUCAAACUCUGUAUAUAUGUAAUUUACCAUACUAGUUCCUUUUUCGCGCGAAAAAUCAUAUAUAGUCAUUUACCUUCACACCUUCAAAUGUGCAGACUACAAGUCCAAACAAAGUCUGCUUCAUGAAACGAGUUUGAUUUAAGUAGAAUUGUCUCUUUCCAUUCUGUAGAUAUUUUCUUUAUCUAUAAUCUUUAGUCGACUUUAACACAUGAUCCUCAUUAUUACUUAUCACAUAGCGCUAUAUUAUAUGCAAAAACACAUCAACGUUGACUUCAUUUCGGUUCCAUCUCAUUCCAUUGAGAUCUUUUAUUCAUGACAUAAUUUAUCAAUAUUUUAUAAGUUUCAGGUACCUGAUUAGUUCUUCUGGAACUGAAAAAUCAAUUAUGUCAGAAAACUCUUUUAGAGUUUCUAUAUCCUCGUUUUGGGUUAUCUUUCCUUUAAGCUCCUUUUCUUAUUCAAAGCCUUUUAUAUUUGAAACCGAUUGAUCUAUCAUGCUUCAGGCAUGAUGAAGACUCAUUUGCAAUAUUAGAUUAUCCGAUAUGGACAUCUAUUUCGAUUGGAGCAUACAUUAGCAGCUAAUAAGAUUUGUUUACCUUUGCAAAUGAGUUAUAUCUUAAGGAUCAAGAAGAGACAAUAAUAUUUCCUUUCAAAUAAUUUAUUUGAACUUCAGGUUCACAAUUUUUAGCUGCUUACCAUCUCCCCCUAAUAUUGGGAAAACCAAACCAUCAAUUGAUAAUCAGCCUAAUGGAGAUUUAUAUCAAAUACAUUUUCCCAAUAUUCUUUCAAGAUUUAUCAAAAUGCAUUAUAUUGGAGCAAUUGUGACAUACAUAACACAUCCAAAAAUUCACUUGGAUGAAAAAUAUCAGGUUGUUAACCUUAAACCAAUGAUAAAUUAAGGGGAGAACUUACAUAUAGUAAUGUGUUGGCUUGAUGCAUAUCAAUAUCUCAAUAUACAAAAUUAUUGAUUCCCAAAAUUGAGUCUAUAAGGCAUGAUCUCAUAACCAAAAUAGAGUAUAUAAUGUAUGUUCUGAUAAGUAUCAAUCAUACAAUUAACUUUAGACGUCUAAAGAAUGGAUCUUCCAGUCCAUUUUAUUAGCAUAUGCAUGUUCAAUAUCAAUUUCAAUUGAAAAAUGAUACUUAUCAAAUGAUUUCUGAAAAUUUCAGAAAAUAAACUCUUAGUCAAAUUUGUUGAGAAAAUAAUCUCACAAACUUCUGGUUGUGAAUAUACAUGUGAUCAUUUAGUUGAUGCAUCGAUUCAAAUCAUAUAAUAUCCAAGUGAUUCACAUGAUCAAUGUAUUAAUUUAAAUAACACCUUAUAUAGGUGAGACACUCAUUCCUUUAAAUUGUCAACUUCCCUUAGGAACUAGUAACACAAAAGUCACUAGAUUGAAGAAUCUUCUGGCUCUUCAAUAUAUAUCCAUUUUUUUUCAAAUAGUUUAUGCAUCAUAAUAGAUCCGGGAUAACCCAACCGGUCUUGCCAACGAUUUGUAAACUUAUGGUUUACAAUAUUAUGUGCUUCCAUUGCACAAAUAAUAUAAUAUGUAAACUUCAGGUUUACAAUAAUAUGUGCUUCCAUUGCACUAAUAUAAGUGUAUCAUAAAUAAGAGACAAAAUAAAAUUUCCACUACACUUAUUUUCUCCAGAGUAUAUCUCGUAAUAUAGAGAUUUUUAACAUUAAAAUUUUAUGAGAAUGCAAUCUCAAUGUUUAACUUUGUUCCUCCAUGUAACAAUAAAUUAGUUAUUCAGGAGCCUUCGAUAAUUUAUUUAUUUUGAAGUGCAAUGCUAACAUUGAUUCCUUGCAUCAUAAUUUAUGAAAAAUAUUCCUGGUUCUUCCAAAAUGCAUGAUUGAAACCAUAUUAUUGUAAAAAAAAUUAAUAACAAUAAAUUUCAAAUAUCAUAAUCAUGGUAUAACCCAAAUAUUCAAUUUCAAAUGAAAUAAACUUGAAUCUUAUAGUAUAUACGAGAGAGAAAAAUCAUGUCAUAUUGAUUCACUACAUGUGAAUAUAAAUAUUUACCCAUAUAUUGUAGAAUCAAUAUUUUUCAAAAUUAAAGAAUCAAACCUUUGUAUAAUGUACUAUCAAAUUGAAUCACAAAAGUUGAGAUUCAUUAUUAAAAUACAACAAAUCUUCCACAAAUAUAUAUCAUAACCAAAUAUAUAGCAUUUCUUUAUUUAUUUAUUUAUUUUAUAACUAAAUACAAAGUUUAUACACAAAAAAUAUGUGAAUCAAUUUUAAUUUCAAAUAGAAAUUAAAUUUCAAAUAGAAAUUAAACAGUAGGAUAUAAAACAUUAUUUUUUUUUAAAUAAAAAUAAAUUUUAGAACAAAUCAAUUCACCUUAAUUAAAUUAAAUCUAAAUCUUUAUUUGCUAACAACAUAUUUCCGUUUGAUGUUACAAUGAUCAAAUACCCAUACUUAAUAAUUCAAAACAAAUAUUCGUAUACAUGACAUUUAUGUGCAUAUCGAUAAUGGAUCAUAAAUAAGUUUAAAUCAAAAUCAACAAAGAAUUGCCCAAAUUACAUGAAAGCACAACCAUAAAAAUAAAAUAAAACAGACAUAUUGACAAGACCAAAUUGAGUAUAUAUCUCCUUUAUAUUGAACUUCAGUUUUCCGAAAGUAUAGAAAAUUUUCUACACCGAAAAAAAUUUGGCCUACUAUAAUUUAGAAAAGAGUUUAUAUAGUCUAUAUGAGCCGAAAUUCAAGAACUUAAAACAUGAUAAUUUAAGUGCCAAACAUGAUUUUGGUGGUUGAGAAAUUGAAAUUGCCAAAAUUGCAUGGGAUCAAAAAAAAUUUAUCGUGAAGUCAAUUUGCUUCUAAAAAUAAUGAUUUUAUCCAAUUUUUAUUUCAAAACAAUUUUUUUUUGACAAUCAAGUAAAACAAAAUACAUGAUGCUAAUUGGUGUCUAUCAAUCAAAUUGACAAUGCAUCCAUAACAAACAAGAGCCAUAAAGUCAGACAAAAAAAAACGGAAUUAAUUACAUUAUCUUUUAUUUUUAUUUUUAAAAUAUAUAGAAUUUAGAAAAUAAUUUUAGAUCAAAUCUUAAAAAAAAAUUGAUACAAUUUGAAUCCUUAAUUUUAAAAAUAAAAAUUAGAUAUUUAAUUUAAUAUUAUAUUUGAAACAAAUUGAAACGUAAAGAUAUGUUUCAAAUCAAUUAUAAUAUAUUUUUUUUAACUUAGAUCCAAAUAAAAAUUAGUUGGUUUAUUUUAAACCCAACAAAACUGAUUUCAGCAAAUAAUUUGAAAAUAAUCCACAAUUAAGGGAAACAAUCUCAAUCAAAUAGAGAUUUAUUUUAAACUCAAACCAAAAAGAUAAAAUAAUAAUUAAAUCAAGGAUAAUUUCAACUGAAUCUUAAAUAAAUAAAACAUGGAAAUUUGGUGAAAAAAAAAAUACACACCAAUUCACAAAAGAAAAUGAGUUUUUUCAAGAACUUUUUCAUGAACUACUCACAAUCAAAUCAAUUAUUUGUGCAAUCCAUGCAUCACUAUUGAAUUCUUCAGGAAUUCAUGGAGAAUAAAAUUGGUUGAUUUUUAAGUUUUUUUGUACGAUCCUUCAUAGAUGUAUCACUACUGAAUUCUUCAGGAAUUCAUGGAGGAUAAAGAUUUGAUUUUUAAGUUCUUUAAGAACUAUGCAAUAAAUUUAAACCAUAAAAUAAUUAUCCAAGCAAUCCUUCCUUCAUAGAUUAACAUUUUUGAAUUCUUCAGGAAUUCAAAGAGAAAAUAUAAUAUUUAGUUCUUCAAGAACUACAGUUUUGAAUUAUUCAUGAAUUCACAAAGAAUAUUAGUGAGUUCUUCAUGAACCACACUUUUGAAUUCUUCCAAAAUUCACAUAGAGUAAUAUUGAGUUCUUCAGGAACCAUAUAAUAGAUCUCUUUGAUUUUAUAAUAUGAGAUCAAUUCUUAUGCAAUACUUCAUGAUUACAUAUGGAAUAAAUAAACACAAUAAUAUAAUACAAUUCACAUAAUAGUGGUUCAAUUAUAAUAGUAUAGUCUAUAAUCAUCGAUAUGAAAAUUAAAACUUAUUUUCAUAUAAAUAGAUUAAAAAGAAUUACAUACCUCAGUUCGUUAGAGUCUCGUGCUGAUAACGUGUUAUGAAACUAUUAUAAUAAGAAGAACAAGAACAAGAUUAGAAGAACAAGAACAAGAUUAAAGAGAAGAAGAGAGAAUAGAGAGAGAAGAAAGAGGAUUAUAUUAUUCUCUUGUGAUGUACAAUUAGGUUACAUAUGAACUCUAUUUAUAGAGAAAUACAAUGACUUGGGAAGCAAUCACAAUAUGGCCCAAUAAGCUAAUAGUAUGACCCAAUAACCGAAUUGUUAUAUAGACAUCCACUUAUAAUAUUCAUAACAAUUAUAUUAUUUUUGUAAUAAUCUUAUUAUUAUUAUUAGGUUAUCUUAUUCUUGUAAGAAUUUUUAUUAUUAUUUUGUUAUAUUUUCCUUGUAACAACUUUUAUUAUUACUAGUGUAUUUACCCGGCGUUGCCCGGGUUAGACAUAUUCAAGAAGAUAAAAAAAUUAUAUAUAUGAUAUCUGCAAAUAAAAUUUAUCACGGAUUGGUAUAGGAUGAAUAUCUUAAUAAAUACACACAAAUACAAUAAAUACUCUUAAAUUUAUAGAUGCACAUAAAGAUAAAAUUAAUAGGAUUUAGUAAAAAUAUUAAUACAUAUAGAAUAAAAUUCACUUUUAGGAAUUUGUGUUAUUUCAGUUGAGAUAUUUCUGUUACAUAAAAUAUUAGGAAUUCAAUGAAAAAGUUAAGUAAAAUAUUUAAUAGAUAAGAUCAAAAGUUUGAUGAGAUAUUUAUGUCAAAUCAAAUACAAGUUUUAGAAAAUAGAAAAAUAAUAAAAAUAAUGGGAAUAAACGUGAAAGUGACACGUGACAUAAAAAACCUUAGUUUAUAUAUAUACUAUCGAUUGAUUGAUUGAUUGAUGAUUUAUAGUUGAAGGGUAUCGUAUCUAAUUUGUUGAGAUAUUUUUGUUACAUAAAAUUUUAGGAAUUCAAUAAAAAAGUUAAAUAAAAUAUUUAAUAGAUAACAUCAAAAGUUUGUUGAGAUAUUUAUGCCAAAUCAAAUAUUGGUUUUAAAAACUAGAAAAAUAAUAAAAAUAUUGCGAAUAAACGUGAAAGUAACAUGUGGCAAAAAAAACCUUACUUUAUAUAUAAAUUAUUGAUUGAUUGAUUGAUGAUUUAUAGUUGAAGGGUAUCCUAUGUAAUUUGUUGAGAUAUUUCUAUUACAUUAAAUAUUAGUAAUUCAAUAAAAGAGUUAAGUAAAAUAUUUAAUAGAUAAGAUCAAAAUUUUGUUGAGUAUAUUUAUACCAAAUCAAAUAUUGGUUUUAAAAAAUAGAAAAAUAAUAAAAAUAUUGCGAAUAAACGUAAAAAUGACAUGUGGCGUAAAAAACCUUACUUUAUAUAUAUACUAGCAGCAGACCCGUGCUACGCACGGGCUAAGCGUUGAAGUGCGGGUUAUGCGUCGAAUCACAUUUGCAAUGUUAUAUGCAUUGAAAAAUAAAAAACAAAUUAACGAUAAAGUUGAUGAUAAUGAUAAAAACAUUGAAAUAGUUUAUAUUAAAUAUUAUAAAGUGGUAGAAUAAAAAUAUGUCAAAAUAUUAAAUAUAGUAAAGAUCUCGUGUUUUUUAUAUAUCUUUGUAUUUUUAUAUACAUUUAUAAAUAAUAAAUAUGUAUCAUGUGCAUAUUUUUUAUAUUAAUUGUAGUUAGUAUAUUAUAAUCACUCUUAUUAUUAUUUAGAAGAUACAUAAAAAAAAAAAUUAAUUUAACUAUUACAAACAUUGAAUUAGUGGUUACUAAAUAUUAUAAAGUGAACUCAUUUGGGGUUGGCCUAGUGGUUUGCUUGGGAUCUUAGAGUUUGCUCAUUUCAAGGUCUUAGGUUCGAUUACCCUAUUGCCAAUUUCGAUGGGCAAGUCAAUAUAGAUCUUUGAUCUAGCUUUAAAUGCACCCUGCUCUCGCAAAUGAUCAGUCAGAUUGGUCCCCUCAGAUUAGUCGGUUCUUUGAUCGGAUACUGGGUUUUUAAAAUAUAUAUAUAUAUAUAUAUAUAUAUAUAUAUAUAUAUAUAUAUAUAUAUAUAUAUAUAUAUACGUAUUAUAAAGUGAUAGAUUAAAAAUAUUUCAAAAUGAAAAAUAUGACAUUAAUUUGUCUUGUGCUUUUUUACGUAUCACUAACAAAUGUUUGUAUUUUUUUAUAUACAUUUAUAAAUAAUAAAUAUGUAUACAAUACAUGAUUUUAAAAUUAAGCUAUAGUUAUAUAUUAUAAUUACAAAAUGGUUGACCACAAAUAUAUCAAAAUAUUAUAAAAAGAUAAAGAUGGUGUUAAUAUGUCCAAUGUAUUUUUUUUAGAAGAUACAUAAAAAAAAUCAAUUUAACUAUUACAAACAUGAGAUUAGUUGUUACUAAAUAUUAUAAAGUUGUAGACUAAAAAUAUUUCAAAAUACUACGAAAUGAAAAAUACGACAUUAAUUUGUCAUGUACUUUUUUACGUACCACUAACAAAUUUUUGUAUUUUUGUAUUUAUAUAUAUAUAUAUUUAUAAAUAAUAAAUACGUAUCCAAUGCAUGAUUUUAAAAUUAAAUUAUAAUUAUAUAUUAUAAUUACAAAAUGGUAGGCUAAAAAUAUAUCAAAAUAUUAUAAAAUGGUAAAGAUAGUCUUAAUAUGUCCAGUAUUUUUUUAUGUAUCAUUGAGAAAUAUUUGUUUAUUUAUAUAUAUAAAUUUAUAAAUAAAAAAUAUGUAUCCGGUGUAUGAUUUUUAUAUUAAAUUAUAAUUACUAUUACUCUUAUUAUUUAGAAGACACACAAAAAAAACUUAAUUUAACCAAUUAUUUAUUGACCGACUAUUGUCUCGUGUAUGAGUUGUACAAUUAUAUUAUUUAGGGACUCAUUGAUAGUUUAUGUGAUGUUUUUUAUAGUCAUAUUUCCAAAUGAUAUCAUAAUUUAUAAUCUAUAACAUUGAAAAAUUGAUUUUAUAAUAUGACAUUAAGAUAAACAAAAAACAAAGGAAAAUUAUUUACACAAGCAAUCUUAAAAAUUUGUAAUUUUCUGAAAAUUAGGUGUUUAUCUUAUUAUAAAUAUUAAUCCCGUGUAUAAUUUAUAAGUGACAAAAUUUUAUAACUUUCCCAAAAUUAUGUUAUUUCUGAUUAUCAAUCAAGUAUAAUUCAAUAAAUUUUGAUGCAAAAAUAUGUAUUAGUAAGAAAUAGUCUGAAAAAGCAACUAAUUUGAAGAUGUGCUGGGAUCUUAAAAAUUCUAGUGAAGAUUGGGCAAUUCUCCUUCGAAGCAAGGUGUUUAGGGGAAGGAAAGUAAUCUCUCACCAUAUUUUCUCUUCUAUUUGGAGCAGUGUUAAAUCAGAAAUCAACAACAUCAAUGACAAUUGCAGCUGGAUCAUAGGUAAUGGAGAGAAUAUUAAUUUUUGGCUUGAUACCUGGAUGAACAAACCUAUUGCUUCUUUGCUUAAUUUUCCAGAUAUUGUUCAUAGCACUCUAACAACUAGGGUCUCCGAAUACAUUCAUAAUUCUCUCUGGCACAUCCCUCAAUCGAUCCUGGAUUCUUACCCCAUUUUGAGUCAACUUGUCAUGCAAAUUGCUCUUCCCAGGCACCCGAAAAAUGAUAAACUUGUCUGGAAAACUAGUUCAACGGGUGAUCUUUCUCUUAAGGAAGCUUUUCUAUUCAAGUAUGGUGCUGGCCAAAAUAUUUCUUGGGCCAAGGAUUUAUGGAGCCCGGAUAUCCCACCUUCAAAAUCUUUGAUGACUUGGAGACUCAUGCACAACAAGCUCCCUACCGAUGAUAACCUUGCUCUUAGAGGUUGUAACCUCCCCUCAAUGUGUUCAUCCUGUCAGGCUUAUGAGGAAACCACUUUUCAUUUAUUCUUUGAAUGCACUUUUGCUUCAAAAAUGUGGUCUUGGCUAGCAUCUCUUCUCAAUAUGUCGUUGAUCUUCAAUUCUCCGAUGGAUAUUUGGGCUAUCUUAGCAAAUAGCUGGACUCCUCAAUGCAAAGUAGUAGUUCAAGCUUGCAUCAUCAAUAUUUUAAACAUCAUAUGGCUUAGGAGGAACAACAUUCGAUUUCAAGGUAAGACGGUUGAUUGGAGAACAGCCAUAAACUUGAUCAUUUCCAAAGUCUCUUUAUCAGGGAACCUUACCACUAAAACUGCUGCUGCUAAUAUGUUAGAAUUCACCAUCUUGAAAGCUUGCAAAGUUAACAUCAAGCCUCCUAGGGCUUCCUUGAUCAAAGAAAUCAUUUGGGCUCCUCCUAUGCAUUCUUGGGUGAAGGUGAACACAGACGGUGCAUCUAUCAAGAAUCCUUCAAGAGCAGCAGCGGGUGGAAUUUUUAGGAACUCCGAGGGUGUUUGUUUAGGUGGAUUCUCUCAAUUUCUUGGUGAUGCUAAUGCUCUUUAUGCUGAACUAAUUGCAGCAAUCAAUGUUAUUGAAAUUGCUACCUUGAUGGGAUUCUCCAAUGUUUGGUUAGAGUCAGAUUCUCAAUUAGUGAUUCUUGCUUUUAAAUCCAAAUCUGUUGUUCCUUGGAGUUUAAAAAAUAGGUGGGAAAAUUGUAUUCAGUCUACCCAUAGGAUGAGAUUCUGUGCUUCGCAUGUUUACAGGGAAGGAAAUAUUUGUGCGGACAGACUGGCGAAUUUUGGUUUGUCUUUAUCUUCUUCAGAAUUGUUUUGGUUUGAUAGCAUUCCGGACUUUGUUAGGAGGGAGUACAAUAGGAAUAGGUUGGGUAUGCCCAACUUUAGGUAUGUCACCUUUUGAAAAGGUUUUGGUUUGGUCCCCCUUUUCUCUUUUGUACUUCUUUUCUCUUUAAUGAAAUGAUUAGACGCUCUUUGCAUCCUUUCAAAAAAAAAAAAAAAAAGAAAUAGUCUAUAUUUUUUUAUUUUUUAUUUUCUUAGUGAAUAUAUUGCUCCCGUGACUUGUUAAGUAUCGAUGAUAAAUUCUUUCAAAAAAAAAAUAUUGGCGAUAAAUGUUUCUCCCAAUUUUUUUAUAUUACUAAUAAGUGAAAUGUAUUUAUUAUACUUUUUAUUAGAAACAAAUAUAAUGUUCUUUAAAGUGUUUUUUUUUUUUGUGGUGGUCGGGGUUCGAACGCCGGAUCUUGCAUAUUUUAUGCAUUGUCCAUACCAACCGAGCUAAGCUCACGAGGACUGCUCUUUAAAGUGUUUUGUUUUUAAGUUAUAACAAACGAUCUCAUUCUUUAAAAAAACGACAUCGUAGAGACCAUUUGUUAGGAAUAAAAUAAAAAUAAUUUUGACAUUCAAUAAUUGAAAUAUUUUUUUUAGAGAUUUUAUAAAAAGACAUAAUUUUUUUUUUUUUGUAUUUGCUUAUUGUAAUUAAAUCAUUUAAAAGAUAAUAAUUUAGUUUGUUUAGAAACAACUAUAUAAAAGGAAUAUUUUGUUACAAAAUAAUCUCAAUCUUUUGACGGUUAUUUUCUCUCUUUUCUAAAUAUGAUCUUAUGUUACAAAAGACACAAAAGGGUUAAUUUUCUAAGUAUGAUCUUUUGUUACAAAAGACACAAAAGAAUUAAAAUAUGUUGAUGUGUCAAAAAAUUAAGAUGGGGCAAUAUUGUAUUUUUGUUAGUCAUUAACUUUCAUAUAUAGAGAAUAGACUAUUGAUUGAUAUUAUCUAUCACUCUUAUUUGUUACAUGUACAAAUCAUUCCUACUACUACUUUGUUGCCAUCAACGACCUUAUUAUUAUUAUUAUUAUUAUUAUUAUUAUUAUUAUUAGCGAAAAAACGGACACCCGCGUGCCCGUCUUUCCGCUUUUUUUAUUGCGCUAACGUUUGAAAAUUAUGAAUGAUAUUUUUUUUAUGAAAUUUUGAUUUUGAUUAAAACUAAAAAUAUAAAUGUUUGUUGCUUUCAUUAUAUAUAUACUAUUGAUUGAUAUUAUCUAUCACUCUUAUUUGUUACAUGUACAAACCAUUCCUACUACUAUUUUGUUGCCGUCAACGGCCUUAUUAUUAUUAUUAUUAUUAUUAUUAUUAUUAUUAUUAUUAUUAUUAGCGAAAAGACGGACACCCGCAUGCCCGUCUUUCCGCUUUUUUUAUUGCGCCAACGUUUGAAAAUUAUGAAUGAUAUUUUUUUUAUGAAAUUUUGAUUUUGAUUAAAACUAAAAAUAUAAAUGUUUGUUGCUUUCAAGUUAUAACAAAUAAAACGAACCAUGAUUAUCUAUUUUAAUGACACCAAUAAUAUAAUAAAAAAAUAGAAUCUAAAUUCUUUUGUUUUAAUGACACCAAUAAUAUAAUAAAAAAGUAAGUAUAAAUAUAUUCAUCUAGUCUGUUACAUUUUUUAAAUGAUAAAGAAAAAGAAAUCAGACAUAUAUAUUCAUAUCGAGUUUGUUACAUUUUUUUAGACAUGACAAAACAUGUGAUGUUUAAAAAAAAAUUGACAAAACAUGUGAUAUCAAUUAAGAUAUAAAUACAUGAGAGACGCAUUAAUAACUAGGCAUAUGAUAUCAUUUUUAUUAUUUUUUAAAAGGAAUAUAUUUAUAGCAUUUCAUUAAUAAUAAGAGAGUUUAUACAACGAAGUAUCGUAUAAUAAGUGGUAGGACUAGAUAAUAAUGCAGAUAAGAUAUCAUGUUAGAGGCGAGUAAAAGGCAAAUUAACACAUAAAUAAUUCACAACUUGAUAAUUAGAAUACACUAAUGAUAACUCUCCAAAACAGUUAUUGUCAAUCCCAAGCAAGCUUGAAUUUUUGCUAUUUAAGUUUGACAUUCUUUUGUGGGUUAUGUUGAUUUUGUGCAGGUAUUGAACUGAAUUAAAAAAUCUAACAUAGUUGCUACAUGGAGUGUUAGCAACCUUGAAGGCAUAUGACCAGUGCCAAAUUGUGAGAUCCAGAAAAUCAACCUAAAUUUGUUUUGUAACAUUUUAUGAUCUCAAAUUUGAUUUAAUUUUCUUCUUUGAUUUGUAAUAUGGAUCUGUUCAUACUAUUCUUUCAUCUUACCAUAUUUUUGUUGAACCUCGUCAUGAGCUAAACCCUCUGGUUGGAAAUGAAAUGAUAUAUUAAGUACAUUUCGUGGUUCUUUGCUAUGAUUUUGUGAGAGCUAUUUAACUCAAGUUUUUUAAGGUUAUCUUAAGUGUGUCGAGGUUGUGACAAUGUUCUUGAUCAUUAGGGAGUUGUUCAUUCAUGAUCAAGGGUUUGAUGAGCAUCAAUGGCGAUUUCUAUGAGAGAUAGGUAAUUAGUGUUGGGGUUUUUGCAGGUUAAUUUUUUUUAGGUGAACUUAAAUACAGAUGAUGAGUUUCACAAACCUCAUAUGGGAGAGUAAAAUGCUAAGGUUUUGAGGAGAGAUUUUAUUUAGAAAAUGGGAAGAAUGAAGAUAUAAAAUAAUAUGUCCCGACUAAUUAUGGGGUUUCAUUGUUCUGCGUAUGCCAGUUUUUGACUACGCUAAUUGCGUCUUCACAAAAUUCAAAAUGUAAAACUUGUGACUACGCAAAGGCAUGUGAAUGCACAAGUCGCUCCCAUGACAUAAGCAGAAAAUGAGAUUUUCUUAAGAUUAAGGCACUUAGGGACUAAUCAAUCUUCUAAUUACUAGUUCUAAGAAUCACAAGGGAAUGUAUAUACACUCGGGGUCUACACAGCAGAAUGACUCUAAGAACUCUUAGGAAGGAUUUCCUAUAGAGAAAUGGGAGAGGGAAAAAAGUGUGUUGGAAAUAGUGAAUACUCCCUCGAUCUAAAUUACAAGUCGUUUUGGAGAAAUUUUUUGUUUCAAAGUAUAAGUUGUUUUACAAUACAAAUGUAUCAUUAAAUGCUAUUUUUUUUCAAUUAGAUCUUCAACUAUUUAUUAUUUUAUCUUCUUUUAAUAUUUAAUUUAUCUUUUCUAUACCAUUAGUUAAGAAUAAUUUUGUAAAAUGACUUAUAAUAACCCUCUAGUUCUCAUGAAAGAGAGACCCUGCCAAUAAAAAAAAUCAAUCAAUAUCGUACUAUGGUGACGAACAAAAAGUCAACCCUCUCUUGAAGGAGUACAUUGUAAGUGCUCUUAGAGCAUCUCCAAUGGGGGGUCCUUACUUAACAAGGACCAAUCCCCGUUAAGGACCCUCCAUUGGAGGAAGAAAAAAUGAGUCCCCCUUAAGGAACGGGCAACUAUAUAAGGACCCUCUCUCUCCUGGGUAACUAACGGGUCCCACGUUUAAAAAAGUAAUAAAAUAUGUACUACUUGGUCCCACUUGCAUAAAGGAAUAAUAAAAUGUGUACUACUUGGUCUCACUUGUAAAAAAGAGUAGUAGGUAAAUUAUUUUUGUUUAAUGAUGUAAAGAUAGUGAGACAUAUUUAAGUACUUUUCAUUGGAGUCUUUGUUAGUGUAUUGCCAUUGGAGUCAUUGAGUCCUUAAUAGAUACUUUUAUUAAAAAAUUAUAAAUAAGUGAUGUGUCACGUGGGGUCCAUUUAAGGAGUCCUUGUUAGGAAACCACCAUUGUGGAUACUCUUAGUACACAUAAAAAGUCAAAAGUUGAAAACUUGCAUUGGAAACAAUAAUAUUUUUACUUCUAAUAAGUUGAACAUCAUUUUUCAAGACAAAAUUUCUAUUAUAUUUACUCCAUCCGUUCCAAAUUGUAUGACGUUUUAGAUAUUUCACAUAUAUUAAGAAAUACAAUUAAUAUUGUGUGGAUAAGAGAUAUUAUGAAUUGUUUUACAAAAUUGUCCUUAAUAAAUAAUAUGGGAAAGAUAAAUGAAAAAAUUGAAAAAAGAGAGAGUAAUAAAUAAUUAAGGUUAUAAUAGAAAAAGUAAUAUUAAUGUUGCAUUAGUAUUGUAAAGUGACAUAUAAUUUGGGACAAUUUUUUUUCCUUAAAGCGCCAUACAAUUUGGGACGGAGAGAGUAUGUUCUUAGACAAUAUUCUAAGAGCAUCUCAAAUGAAGAGGGUGAGACCUAGAUUACCCUCUCUUGUUUAUGGGGUAUUUACCCUUUCAAGAUAUAAACCAAUCAAAAUAUAAUAUACAAAUGUAAUAUUAAAUGUCAAAUAACUGAGUCAAUUUUUCUAUAAAAAAAAAUCAAUUUUAAUAUGAUAACUUUUAAUUUUGGGUUAAAUAUGUUUUUGGUCCUUAUAAAUAUAUUAACUUUUCAUUUUAGUCCCUCUAAAAUUUUCCUUCAACUUUUAGUCCAUAUAAAAUUUUCAAUCACUACUUUUGACCCCUCUUUUAAAGUAAACUUAAAUGUAGAAUUCAUAUUUUUGAAUAAAAUUUCUCCGAAAAAUUCAUAAUAUUUUUGAAUGGGAAGAAGAAUGAAGAAGAAAUUGCAUGUUAUGUAUGUUCUAGGUUUUGGAAUGGAACAAAAUUUAUGAACGUAUAUGGGAUGUGUUUGGUAAAAACAAGCUAUAAGCUAGCUGAAAUCUGAAAAACUAGCUUAUAGCUGAUGUCUUAUAACUGAUAACUUAUAGGUGAAAAGAUGAUUUAUUAAAAUUGAAGUGUUAGGUAAAAUUAGUUGUUGAAGUGGCUGAUAAGUAUAAAAUGACAUAAAAAGACAUGUUUAUAUAUAUAUAUAUAUAGAGAGAGAGAGAGAGAGAGAGAGAUAUAUUUUUUCUAAUGUAUUUAUUUUUUAAUAUUUUAAUUUAUGGUUAACUAUGUUUUGGAUCCCUAUAAAUAUUCAAACUUUUGGUUUUAAUCUCCAAUAAAAUUUCACCGACAAUUUUGAUCUCUGCUUACUUCUUUUUUUUGUACAAAAGAGGACAAAAGUUCAUUGAUCUCAACUUGUAUGAAUCCCAAAAAUAAGAGGAAAGUGAAAAAAAAUGUAAGCAAGAAUAUAUAAAAUUUUACAACGUACCGUAUGCUAGUUAUAGUUAAAUAUAAAGCAUUUCUUUUAAGAAAUAUAUAUAAAGCGUUCAUUAAAAAAUAAAAUAAAACAUGACAGUUUUUUUUUUUCAAAGGAGAAAACCUGACAGUUGUUUUAUUAAAAAAUAAGCUAUGAACUUGGCCGUUAUUUUUUAAGCCAUGAACAUGUUUUAUUAAAAAAUAAUUAAAUUAAAUUAAUAGGGUUAAAAAGAAAAUAUAAAAAAACUACCAGGUAUAAGCUAAAAAACUACUUGAAAUAGCUUCUCAAAAAACACUAUAAGUUAUUGAAAAAAGUUUCUUACCAAACACAUCUUAUUUUAUCAAAAUAAGCUUAUAAGCUAGUCCAACAAGCUAUAAGUUAGCUUAUUCGUGUUACUAAACACAACCAUGAGGUUGAAUUUGAUGUGAAAUUUUAAUUGUUACGAACCAUAUAGUGUAAAUUAAUUAAGAUUAUAUACCUAAAUAUAAUUAAAUAAAAAUUAAAAGUUACCUUAUUAAACUUGAUUUUUUUAUAGAAAAAAUUGACUCAUUUAUUUGACAUUUAAUGUUACAUUUGUAUAUUACAUUUUGAUUGGUUGAUAUCUUGAAGGGGUAAAUACCCCAUAAAUAAGAGAGAGUAAUGUAGAAAAAACCAAUGAAGAGUCAUUUAUUUAAUAAAAAUCUCAACCUAUUAAAUAUCUCUAUUGAAGGAAGAAUAAAAGUGAGCACAUUUUUUUUUUUUUUGAAGAAACUAAGAGAAAAUAUAUUAAAACAGAUAAUCAGUCCCUCGAGCACAAGGUAUGCCAAAGGAAACUGAGUAAGUUAAUUACAAUACAGAAAGGCUAAAAAUAGCCAUAAAUCAAGUCCCAAAAAAUAAACUUUACAAGACACUCUCUAAACAACAUAAGGAAUGUAAUCUCCAAAAAGAAUAAUCGAAAGCGAACGUGAUAUGAUUAGCUUUCAACCACCAAAACGUUUGAAGUUUAACCCUUUCAAGAAGAACUUCCAAUUAAUCAAUUUGGUUUUGGAAUAUCCUUCGGUUUCGAUCUUUCCAUAUAGUAAAUAAGACCGAAAUCCAAAUAAUAGUGAAAGCUUUCAUAUAAUUCUUUGAGAAGCCUCCAAGAGCGCAAAACUGAUUAGCAUGUGUAUAUAAAUUGUCAUGAAACACCGUAACAAAACCAAGCCAAUUCGAUAUCAGAAGCCAUAAUCGACCAUAAUAAUCACAUUGAAAAAACAAAUGAUCCCUUUCCUCCUCCUUACCACAUAAGGCCCCACUUGAAACAUUGGUAGCCUCAAGGACAUUCCUUUUACGAAGAUUGUCCUUUGUAGCAAGUCUAUUCAAAAAGAGACGCCAAACAAAAAUAUUAACCUUUAAGGGAACCGCUUUAAGCCAUAAAAAACGAUCAAACUCUGCAGUGAUGUUAGAGUCGACCGCUGUUAAGUAUGAGUAAGCUGACUGCACCGUAUAUAAUUGUGACGAAUGGAGUCUCCACACCCAUCUAUCAGACAAGUCUGCCUGCAAAACAAAAUUAGACAACCGCGCCACACACUCCUCCACCAACUCUUCCUCCCAAGCAAAUAAUCUUCGUCUCCACCUCCAUGCUCCCCCAUCGGCCCCCCAUCCCAACAAAAACAUCUCCCUCACCGAAACACCUUUAUUUUCUGCCAACUCAAAAAGUCUAGAAAAAGACACUGCCAACGGAACGUUUAAAAGCCAAGGAUCCUCCCAAAACAAGGUGGUACUCCCAUCUCCGACCUUCCUAACUAUGUUAUCAACCAACCACGCAUUCUCCGCUAAACCCACACCACAUCUAAUUUGAUUUAACUGACGCCACCAAAUCGGCCCAACACCCUCAGAAAAUUGCACCCUCCCUCCGACCUCUCCAUAUUUCGCACACAACACCACAUUCCACAGGCUCUCCCUAUCCUCCAACACCCUCCACACCCAUUUACCUAAUAAAGAAAUAUUAAACUCCCGCAAUCUUUUAACACCCAACCCCCCAUUCUCCUUGCUCAAGCAAAUAUUAUCCCAUUUAAUCCACAAAAUUUUCCUAGAAUCCUCACCACCACCCCAAAAAAAAUUAAUAAAAAUAGAGUCAAGGGUAGAAAUGAUACCUAAGGGAGCUUUGAAGAAAGAAAGGAAAUAAACCGGAAUGGACGACAAAACGGACUUAAGCAAAACCAACCGACCACCCAGCGAUAAAUUUUUAGAUUUCCACCCGGAUAACCGCCGACGAAUUCUCUCAACCAACGGAUGCCAAAAAUGAAGUUUGCGAGGAUCCCCACCAAUAGGCAGGCCUAAGUAAAUGAAAGGUAUCCGACCAUGCCUACAAUGCAUUACCACCGCUGCCUCAUGCAGCCAAGACUCAUUAAUAUUCACUCCGAAAAACAUACUUUUGUGGAAAUUAACUUUUAGACCUGAGACAUCUUCAAAUAACAAAAGAACAGUCUUCAUUGCACGAACAUUAGCCCAAGAUUUAACACCAAUCAGUAAAGUGUCGUCAGCAAACUGAAGAUGAGACACUGACACAGGUACCUCCGCCCCAACCGUAUAUGGUGCGAACAAACCAUUAGAACCAACCGUUGACAUCAUCACAUUAAGGCCUUCAGCAGCUAACAAAAACAAAAACGGGGAAAGAGGAUCCCCUUGGCGAAGUCCUCUUUCAAAAUGAAACUCAUCAGUCGGACACCCAUUAACUAACACUGAUGUUGUAGCCGUUGUGACACACUCCAUAAUCCAAGAACGCCAUAGACGCGGAAAAUUCAUUUUAGCCAUCACCUCAUCUAAAUACCUCCAAUCCACCGAAUCAUACGCCUUCUCAAAAUCCACCUUAAACAUAAGUAACUCUUUAUUAUUACGCUUCGCAUCAUCUACCAAUUCAUUUGCUAUCAGAAUACCAUCCAAAAUCUGUCUUCCCUUUAUAAAAGCGGACUGAGAAGCAAACACCACACUCCCAACCACCAUUCUCAAUCGAUUGGCCAAAACUUUUGAUAAAAUUUUGAAGGUGAGAAAAACACAACCAACGGGGGGGGGGGGGGGGGGGGUUGAAUUGUGUUUUCUUUUUCUCUCUAAAAAUUCUUCUUCUGAUAGUACUUCAGAAGCAGUUUGAGAAUGCUUCUGAUGUAAUGACCAGAAUCAGAUAUGCAGCGGAAAUGAUCAAAGCAUAGAAAAGAAAAGCAAGACACAAGCAGUUAUCCUGGUUCCUUCCACAAAUCGGAAGUAGUCCAGUCCCCCUUGCACUUCCAAGGAGAUUUCACUAUAAUCACAAAGAUUACAAAUGCUCAAUACUAUCUAAGUAUGAGACUUCUCAAAAAUGCUCAAGCACACACGCAAGAGUCUUCCAAUGUUCAAGCACUAAGCAAGAGACUUCUAAUGCUCAAGCACGCAGGCAAGAGACUUCUGAUCAAACAAAAAUACAAUGAAUUAUGUUUGACUUGAACACUUGAUAUACAAUCAGUGGUGUUCACAAUACAAUACGUUAAAGACUCUAAACUUUUGAAUUUCUAAGAUGUAUCAAAUCAGUGCAGAAAUUCAGUGUGCUUUGUAGAAUCAAAUUGACAGAGUUUUGGCGCUUUUUAACUUGUGUAUCUCUAUCUACAAUCUUCAAGUCUUCACUCCUUUAUAUAGAGGCGUGAAAGAGACGUUGAGAUAAUUAGCACGUCUAAAGAGUCGUUUGAAAUCCUUUGAUCAAUCACCAGUGAUCCUUUUCCUGAUUUGGGUGUAGUCCUUUGAAGAAUUAGCUUCAAAUUCAUUCCCAUCUUGAAGGCACAAAUUCUGCAGGCCUAGCUGUUGUCUUGUCUUGUAGCGUGGACAAAACAGAGUAGUGGAGGUAGUGGUUGUACACUUGUACUUUGUCAACUCUGUUAACGAAGGACAAAUACUCAGUGCUAUCCAAAUGACCGUUGAUACCUCCCUUUCAAUUCUUCGUUCUUCUUAGAUAAGGUUGAAAUGAGAAACAACUACUUUGGAUCUUCAGUUUGAAUUUACGGAUUAAAUGUAGCUUCUGGUGAUGAUAUCGCUUCUGAUGAAAACCUUGCUUCUGAUGACCUUUUGCUUCUGAUGAGCUUCUGCUUCUGAUGACGUCAUCACUUCAGAAGCACUUCAGCUUCAGAAGCACUUUAAGCUUCAGACGCAGUUUUCUUCAGAUGCUUAGAAUUUCUUUUUCUUUCCAUUGUUCUUCCAAGACCUAUUGAAAUUACUUGACUAGCCUUUGGUCCUGUACACUUGAACAAUUAUUAGUAAUAACCAAUUGACAAUUUUUAAUACCUUGUUAUCAUCAAAACUCAUUAAGGUUCAUUGUGAAACACAUUUUGUUCCAACAAAUUUUAUAAACACUACUCACCAAAGCUAUAGGUCGAAAAUCUGCCACCCUUUGAGGGCUUUCAACCUUUGGAAUCAACGCGAUAAAAGUGGAAUUAAGGCCUUUAGUUAACUUACCAUGAUGGUAAAACUUUGCAAAAAAAUUCAAUAAAUCAAUCUUCAAAAUUUCCCAAAAAUCCUUGAAGAAACCCAAGUUAAUACCAUCUGGGCCGGGACAUUUAAAACUAUCACAGUCCCACACCGCUGCUUUAAUUUCUUCCAACAAAAAGGGUUUGAUGAGUUCAGCCCCAUCCGUCACCGACAACGAUUUGAAAGCCAAUCCCCCUAUAUCUGGCCGCGGUUGAAUACGCUUCUUGAAAUGAUUUUGAAAAUGUUGGAAAAUCAAGUUACACACUUGUACCACUCCUUCAAUAUUACCACCAUCGGUUGCCAAAGAAAUGAUAGAAUUCAACCUUCUUCUGGAAGACAUGAUACCAUGGAAGAACUUAGAAUUUGCAUCGCCUUCCUUCAACCAAUUAAUCCUUGAUUUCUGCCAUUGCAUACCAGCUUGAAGUUUCGAAAAAGCCAUGAUGUCAGCCGAUAGCAUGUGAAUUUCAGUCACUUCCUCAUCACUCAGAGAGUAAAUCUCUCCUAAAGCAUCCAAAGCCGCCAGUCUCCCUUUAGCCCCCUGAAUUUUACUAUUAAUGUUAAGAGUAUGAUUCAAGUGCCAACUCCGCAAACAUUCUUUUAAUCUUUUUAGUUUUUCUUUCAGAAUGAAACCACUCCAGCCUUGCACAUUAAGCGACUGCCAACUUUCUUUAACAAAAUCACCAUACCCUGGUAUGUCCGCCCAACAUUUGAGCAUUCUACGAGGUUUAGGCCCCCAAUUUUCCUCAUCAAUAGUUAACAGAAUAGGACAAUGAUCCAACAAUCCUCUAGGAAGAGCAACCUGGAUACAAUUAGGAAAUAAAGCCGUCCAUGAUUCUGAUAAUAAAAUCCGGUCUAGGCGACUCAUCGAUACACCAUCACCCCGAUACCAGGUAAAAUUGCGACCACAUAAAGGUAAAUCAAUGAGAAAAUUAUUGUCUAUGAACUGAUUGAAAUUAGCAUGGUCAACAGAAAUAAUAUUGUCGCUUCGGCCUCACCGUUCUUCACAUGAGCGAACAACAUUAAAAUCCCCAAGCACACACCAAGCUACAUCACCAUGACUCAGAAGAAAAUUAGAUACAGCCUCCCACAACAUCUGUCGCCCCCUAAUAUUAGAAGGAGCAUAAAUGUUUGCCAAACAAAACAUGUCAUUGUUUUUUAAAAACGACCCCUUUAUCAUCAAGCAAUUUGCAAUAUUUACAGUCAUCCAAACAUCCAGCACACUAGGAUCCCACACCGUAAUAAUACCACCAGACGCACCAACUGAAGAUUUAAAAGAAAAAGCCAUAGGAGUAGGUCCCCAUAUAGAACGACACAAAAACUCAUCAACCACCUCCAACUUCGUUUCUUGUAGACAUAACACUGUCAGCUUCCUUUCGGCAACUAGCCUAUGAAUCUCCCUCCUCUUCUCAGGUGCCCCUAACCCCCUUAUAUUAACAGAUAAAAUCUUCAUCUAGACCACCGUCUCCCCACACACCUCCACACACCACACACCAUCCUAAACACCCCGCACACCGUCCUCCCUCCCCGACCCACCACCAUCCGACCCACCACGGACACCUCCUCUAGAAAGAACCUGAAAACUGUUAUUACACCGAAGAUCAAUUUUUUUUCCCAACUCUACAACAUCUUCCUCCACUUCCUUCGCAUUCCCAUGAAGAACAACCCAAUUCUCCCAAUCUUUAGUGUUGCCGGAAGUACCUGAACCCGCUGACAAGGAAACCUUAUUUGUCUUACAUGAAGAAAUUUUGGAAGAGGUUUUAGAAGACUUCCCCUUCAAAAAAUAUCUUUUAGACAUUUUGGCUUUUUUCAAUGACUUGAUCAACGCGUUUCUGUCGGUUUCCGAGAGCCUAGCAAUUUUUUUCAAACUCGUAAACGACGAUGCCACCUUUCGUCUUAUAGGUGCGAUGUUCUUAGCUCCUUUGAAACUCUCAUCAUCUCCCUUCACUACAGCACUCUCGGCCUGCACUGGAAUGUGGGAAGGGGCUGCAAUUUCCUUCGCGACAAACUGCUCCGUCUUUCCUUGGGAUGACGGGAAGUCAGCGGACUCAGCUGCACCGUUAAUUACCUUCGAGUUUUUAACAAAGUCCUCUUGAAUAUGAUGAACAAGAGCAUCGAUUAAGGGCUCAUCCUGUGGCAUACAUUCGGGAACUGAACAUUGUGAGUUAUUGUCAUCUUCAAAUUCAGCCAAACAUGCAUCUUCGGCCAACCCAAACUCUAAGUCUUCAAUAAAACGAAUAGGGUACAGCCUCCCAUCAAUAACAAACUGUGCAACAUAAUUUAAUUCUUUCAGAUCAGGAGUUGCUAUCAAGAAACGAGCAUAAUCCAUUCUAUCUUUAUUCACUGUAACAUCAUCAAUUUUGAGUAAUCUACCGCAUGUUGCUGCCAAUUCUAAGAAGAAAAUGUCAUUCCAAGCAUGUAAGGGCACCCCAUAGCAUCUUACCCAAGCACCCAUCUCAUAUUGAACCUUAAUGUCUUUCGUCCAAGGCCGACAAUCACAUAAAAAAUUACUCAAAAAAUCUGUUGCCGAGUUAAACACAUCCGUGACAUCUCCAUCCACACUCGGGUGUAACAUCACAUUAUCCCCUCCCAUAGAUAUUAAAUUGUAGUCCAAAAAACCAGCAUCUAAAAAAGAUUGUUGUAUACCGGAAAACGACUUACCAUCCUUAACUUUUGCCAAGAUACAUUUGUUUGCCCAAACGACAUCAUCAUGAUAAGGUAAAUAUUCACGAACCACUUCUGAUGCAACAAUGCCAUAAACAGACUCACUUCCCUCACCUACAACAGCUUUCGGCCUCCCUUCCUCCUUCACCUCUUCCGACUUAAAAUUAAUAGCUCCCUCCUUCACCCCCCUUCUCCUCCUCCUUACGAACACCACCAACAUCCCCCGCUGUAAGCCCUUUCUCCCUCUCCCUCUCCAACUCACUCCGAAUGGCUGCCACCUUCACCUUUUCUAAAGCCAGCUUCCGACUAUCUCCUUUCUCAUCCUCUUUCACUAACAACUCCCUCGAUUUUUUUCCUUCCUUAUUUCCCCUAUUUUUUUCUCCCUCAUGCUUCUUACCUACAUCAUACUCCACACUUCUAGCACUACCACCAUCAGCCGCAUCAAACCUAUCAAACUUUGCUACAUUUGCAAACAAUCUACGAUCCCAAAAGGAAACAUUAUUGAGUGCUUUUUUCAGUUUUUCAACAUCACGUACCUUCAGAAAUUUAGCAAAGCCAAACCGUUGUCCACGAACAUUGCGAAAACGUGAAAGAUAAACAUCCGAUAAAAUGCCACACACCUCCAAGCCUUUCUUCAAAUCCACAUGUAGAAGACGUUCUGGAAAAUUCGUAAUAUAAAACACUGCCGAAACUGAACGACUGACAUUACUAUUGUUUCCAUUACCAAACCUGCUCCACUGAGGUGCAAAACUGUUAUUACCAUUGAAACUCCCAUUAAAGUGUUGCUUAACAUUCCCAUUGCUGUAACCAAACCGCUCUGCAUCCAAACCAGAUUGGAAACGAGACCUGUGUCUGCCCAUAGCAUCACGCGAGCAAGAAAAAGGACGCCCAUGUCUGGAAGUCUGAGAACGUCCGCGCCUCUUGUCAAUGAAAACCCUACCUCCAGGUGGUGUAACUCGCGCCCCACCUCUGCUGUCAGACCUGCUGCGCUGAUAAUCCCUGCCAAGAUUGAAAUUCCGACGCACCGGUGCAUAAACCUUACCUCCAAUUUCGUUGAUCUGCCGCUGUUCGUUCCGUCCGUCCUAUUCCGGUCCUAAUGCUUUCCUUCUCCUAUUUCUCACCCAGACCCAUUCCCCCUGUUCCCCACCCGUUUCUGCCUCCCCGACAUAUGGCCCUUCCCCCCCUUUCGAGCGCAUGACCGGCGAUGGACACCGGCGUGAAGGAUGCCGGAAACCAGCAAGUCGCGCGCCCUCACUCCUAUUCUCUCUCAUCGCGUUUUUUUGGAUAUACCUUGUGAGCACAUAUUAGUUACCGACGAUUAUAUAAUGAGUCUAUUUCUUUUAAGCAACUAACGGAUUCUACAAUUAAAAUAGAAAAUAAAAUAUAUAAAAAUUGAUCCUACAUCACAAGUUCAUGUGAUUUUUUCUCUUUUCAAUUUUUUUUAAAUGCACAUGUUAAAAGUACUUAUUAGUCAUUGGGUCUUUAAUAAAUAUAUUUAUUUAAAAAUUAUAAAUAAAUAACAUGUAAACGUGAGACCUAUUAAAAAAAUUAUUAUUAAUUAAUACCAUUGUGGAUGCUCAAAAACUAACAUUUUCCAUAUAUCAAUACUUUAUUUUGGACUCAAGCAGAAUUUUAUUUGAGGGAGGACUGUAUUUAUUAUUCCCAUUAUUCACGGUUUCCUUAUGUAGUAAUUAAAUAUUUGAUAUACUUGCAAUCUUUUUGCGGGGAAAAGAAUUCAAUAUUUUUUUGAAUAAGAAUUUCGAUUAAUUUAUAACAAAAAAAGAAUAAUGCCCUUAUUGGUAUCUGACAAUACAUAAUCAAAUGCUAACCACAUAUUUUGUUUUCCCUAAAUCCUCUCUUUCUUUUUUCCAAAUUUUUUACUAACAUUAAAAAACACUACUAAGACUCUUCACUUCACAGAACAGAACACAACAAAAACAGAAAAAGAGGUUGAUCCUGUUUUACAUUAUCACUUCAACAUGUUCUCAAAAUAUCUCAACAUCUUCUUCAUCACCACUCUCUUCAUUAUCACUUCAACAUGUUCUCAAAACACUAUUUAUUAUUUAUUUAUUUCACUUUGUCUUCCAUAGCUUUAACCGACCUCACACCGUGUUCACAAUCUCAACAAAUGUUCAUUUCGGCAACACAAAAUUCACCAAGAACAGAAACAACAUAACAACACAAUAUAAUGAUUUGAAUAAAACAAAUUCCAAAAGUAAAUUUAACAAUCAAUAUUGUACCAAAAAUAAAAUUAAUAAUCAACGCAUUAAAGAUCCAUUUAUCUUAAUCAAACGCAAAAUAUGUGUGAUAAAAUAUAAUUUUAUAUAAUCUCAAACAACUCAAUCAAACUCAAAACUCAAAUAAAAAUGGAAGCAUCAUUGGAAUUCAUGCCAAAGUUGAAAAUCACCACUGUCGCAUUAUAAGUGUGAAACGGUUGCAAUCAAGUCACGAUAGUAGUGAAAAAGAAACGAAAAUGAAAAAUCAAAUCAAGAAAAAAAAUCAAGUCCCGAUACCUGAUGUGAUUAUGGAACAACACCGAUUCUCACAAUGUCUGAAAUCAAACAACGAUUCUCACGAUAAUUGGAAACGAAGGCAAUUCUGGAACGAGAGAAUUAAACAAUCAAGAUGGGAAGAAGAAUGAAGAAGAAAUUGCACGUUAUGUGUGUUCUAGGUUUUGGAAUGGAACAAAAUUUAUGAACGUAUGUGGGGUGUGUUUGGUAAAAAUAAGCUAUAAGCUAGCUGAAAGCUGAAAAACUAGCUUAUAGCUGAUGUCUUAUAAGUGAUAGCUUAUAGCUGAAAAGAUGAUUUAUUAAAAUUGAAGUGUUUGGUAAAAUUAGUUGUUGAAGUGUCUGAUAAGUAUAAAAUGACAUGUUUAUAUAUAUAUAUAUAUUUUCUAAUGUAUUUAUUUUUUAAUAUUUUAAUUUAUGGUUAACUAUGUUUUGGAUCCCUAUAAAUAUUCAAAAUUUUGGUUUUAAUCUCCAAUAAAAUUUCAUCGACAAUUUUGAUCUCUGUUUUCUUUUUUAUACAAAAACUCAUUGAUCUCUACUUUUAUGAAUUCUAAAAAUAAGAGGAAGUUGGAAAAAAAAUGUAAGCAAGAAUAUAUAAAAUUUUACAACGUAGCGUAGGCUAGUUAUAGUUAAAUAUAAAGUAUUUCUUUUAAGAAAUAUAUAUAAAGCGUUCAUUAAAAAAUAAAAUAAAGCAUGACAGUUUUUUUCAAAGGAGAAAACAUGACAGUUGUUUUAUUAAAAAAUAAGCUAUGAAUUUGACCGUUAUUUUUUAAGUCAUGAACAUGUUGUUUUAUUAAAAAAUAAUUAAAUUAAAUUAAUAGGGUUAAAAUUGAAAGAAAAUAUAAAAAAACUAUCGGCUAUAAGCUCAAAAGCUACUUGAAAUAGCUUCUCAAAAAACGCUAUAAGCUAGUGAAAAAAGUUUUUUACCAAACACAUUAUAUUAUAUCAAAACAAGCUUAUAAGCUAGUCCAACAAGUUAUAUCCUAGCUUAUUCGUGUUACCAAACACAGUGAGUUGAAUUUGAUGUGAAAUUUUAAUUGUUACAAGUCCUAUAGUGUAAAUUAAUUAAGAUUGUAUACCUAAAUAUAAUUAAAUAAAAAUUAAAAGUCACCUUAUUAAAAUUGAUUUUUUUAUAGAAAAAUUGACUCAUUUAUUUGAUAUUUAAUGUUACAUUUAUAUAUUACAUUUUGAUUGUCGGGUAAAUAUCGUCGUAACGUAGAAAAAAUCAUGAUCAUUUCAUUUCAUUUCAUUGUUUUUCUCACAUGUUCUUCUUGCUUAUACCUCUAUGUAUCUCUUCUUCUUCUUCUUCAUUCUCCUAUGCUAUAUAAUAAUAAUAAUAACAUAUAAUAAUUUGUAUUACCAUACCACUUUGAUUUAAUUUGUAAAUGGCUCUACUCCUUAUGUUCCUAACUUCAGAGUAAGCCUUCCUUCUCUCUCUACCACUCAUCGAUUUCAAGCUUUCAAAGUUGUUUGCUCUGGAACUAUCAAAGGUGCUACUUCCACUCUCCUCCCUUCAAAGUCUCCAAAACCCAGGUCAGUUUUUACUCUUACGGAUCUAUAUUUGUUUCAAAGUUUUUAUUUUUAAUCACACAAAUGAGUUUGCGAGGGUUAGUUUAAAGGAUUUCCAGAUUUAUGGGGUGUUUGGUUUUUGGGUUCAUGAGUACUUAUGGGUUCACGAGUGAUGCUCCUCUUUGGUGAAGGAAGAAGAUGAUGAGUCAUUUUGGAGUUAAUAAUUUCCGAAUGUUUGGAUUUGUAAUGUUCUUUUUUUUAGUUGAAAAUGAUUGUUGUUGUAAUAUUAAAAUUUGUUGACAUGAACUUUGUUUGUGCUUAAAAAUGAUUUACUCCGCUUGUGCUUGAAGUUGAGUUUGUCGGUGUUGGAUGAUGCAGAUUUAUGAUUUUUUUAAUUUCAUAAAUAAUUGUUAAUUCUCUUCAAAAAAAAAUAAAUUAAUUGUUUAUUCUUUUUUAUUUUUUUAAUUUGACAUUUAUACACAUGGCUUUUUUUAUUUUUAAAAUAGAUAAUUACACGCGUGUCAUGUCCAAUCAGAAUUGACUCGGUUAAAAUUGAUCAAAAUGACCAAGGAUGCAAAUGGACUAAAUUAUAGGGUCAAAAUUGUAGUUUUUGUACUUAUGCGUCAAAAUUUCAAGUUUUUGAAAGUUAGGGGAAAAAUGCACAUUAGCCUAGAAUAAAUUACCAAAAACCCACACAAGUCCCAAACCCUCUUCCCUCUCGACUCUCCUCUCCGUCUCCGCCUUUCACGCGCCGCCUGUCCUCCCUUCCCUUUCUAGUCUCCCGCAGCUCCUUCCUCUUCUCUCUCUGUUAGGUAAAUCCAUAAAUGUUGAUUCAUUUCUAUUGUUCAAUGUUGAUUUCUUCUUCUUAUUAAAUAAUUGAAUUAUUAAUUAUAAUCUAUGAGAUAAAGAAUUGUUGGAUUUGUGUAUUUCAGGAUGGUUGACACUAGAUAUAAUUAUGUGCAUGAUCAGAAAUAUCCAUCUGAAGAUGUUGACAUACAUCAUAUAGUUUUGAGGAGCAAUGGUGGGAAAUACUUUUUUGUGUAUGCUUCAGCACUUAUUGUAUUAGCAUGUGGCAUCUAUUUGUAUCUUCUUGAGGUAUGUAUGUCUUCCAAUAAAGUGUAUGUUUGGUUCUGCGGUGAUAAAAUUUGAUUUUUUAGUGAAUUGAGUAUGUAAAAUUGAUUUUGGCUAAAACUGAGUUGAAGGUAAAAUGGUUAUGUUAUGUCUGGAUAUUUCAUGUAAAAGUGAGUUGAACAAUAAAUUUUAGUGCAAGAAUCAAUUAUAGAAUCGAAAGCUACAAUUUUAGCUUCAAGUAGAAUCAAUUCUGCAGCCAAUAUAAAUUCCACUUUAGAGGAACUAAAAAUGUCAAAAUCAAUUCCACACCUCUAGAAUCAAUUCUGCUUUCUCCAAAAGUGGAGUCAAACAUACAACAAAUUUCUCUGUCCUAGUGAUAUGAAGCACGACACGGACACCAGACAUGACACGGACACUGACACAUCGACACCGCUAAUAAUUUAAGAAAAUCACGUAAUUAAAUGUAAUUGUAAGUGUCGGUGUCAGACACGACACGUGUCCGACACCGGGACACGCCUAAUCCGAGAAGUGUCCGUGCUUCAUAGCCUAGUGAAGACCCAAUUUGGUCCUUGACAAUUUUCGUUUUUCUCGCAGCCCAAUUUAGUCCCGACAAAAAAUAAUACCAAAUUAGUCCCUGACAUUUUCAAAUUAUCGGGGACUUAUUUGUCUUCCGUAUAAAAAAUAUUGGGUUUAAUUUUCUGCCGAGGACUAAAUUGACCGUGAGAAAAUUGUUAGGGACCAAUGUGGGUCUUCACUCUUUCUUUGUUCAGUGACUUGAGGAUUUUCAAAAUUUUGUAACUUUUUCCGUGCUUCUUUCUUUAUUGCUUGUUUAUCUACCUUCUAUUGACAGGAGAAAUCGAUUAGCCUUGUGUAUUACAGCUUGCUUUUUGACAUAUUUCUUGUCAAGUUGUUACUUCGCUUGCCGGUUAUUAAAGGUGAGGAAAAUUAAUCUAUAAUGCAUGUUUUAUUUUUGAAACUUAUUUUAGUCAUUUUGACAAAGUUGUCAUUUUCAUGCAGAGUCUGUUGUGAUUAUGCCAGCUUUUGGAGUACAGCUUGAGACUCACUAUAUGAGGUGAUUUUUUUUUUUUAAUCGCUGUUUUAGUCAAUAAUCAUUAUAUUAAGAUACAUGGAAAGCUUAGUGUAGGAUUAUGUAAUAUGUUUUGUAAAGGAUUGUGCACUUGGUAAUUAUUGUGUUUCGAAGAGAAGGUUAGGACAUUUGAAUGCUGAUGCUAGUUUAGGGUUCUUUAGUCUGUUUGUGGGAUGCGGAUUCCUCGCAGUCAGGAAAAUGCCAUAUUCAUUCACACAGUGAAGAUAUUCUCCACCAUUUGAUUCAUCCAUGGUCCGCAUUAUUUAUUUUUCUCUUCAGUCUUAAACCCCAAAUGAGUCGCUUUUUUGUUCAUGUAAACACGUUUCCAUCUCUCCGGACUUGGAGGUCACGUUGAGGCCACCUCUAGGAUCAUAUGAUGUUCAGUGACAUCACAGUACCAUCUUCUAUGACAAAGAAUAUAGGAGGAACUUAUGCUCCAGCAUUAGGGACAAGUUUUGCCAUUGUCCUUCCAGCAUUCGUGAUGGCAGCAAAGUACUUGCAUGGACUCAAGUUGCUGCUAAGUACAUUUGGAAUGAUUCUGGAUUUUGUGCUUUGGGGUUUUAAUAGAAAGUAACUUGUGUUUGGAUAGUAAAUUGUGCUGUAGAGAGAAAUUGUGUUUUUGAGUUUCUGUGGGAUUUUAGAUUCAAGAUCAAGGUUUCAGUGGAAUAAAUUGUGCUCUCUGAUUUGGGGUUUCAGUGGAUAAAUUUACCACCUGAAGCAUUAGAAUCCCAUUUUCACAGGGGAAAGGAACUGCUAUACCAACACUUUUAUCUCAAAUUCUAUCAGAUUUGUGACAGUAAAUUGUAUCAGAUUUGUUUAUGUUAACUUGUAUCAAUUUGUUCAUUCCCAGUAAUUGUACCAGUUUAUUGUUCAAUCAUGCCACUUCAUUAAAUUUGACGGUGUUGUUUCGGCUCAAAACUGAAAACUAAAAAGAAGUUGAUAUGGGCCUUUGGAUGAAUCAAAUGGUGGAAGAAUAUUUGACCGUGAAUUUGGGAUUCCCCUGACUGAAAGGGAUUCACUUCUGUAUGUUUGUCAUGAAAAUAUCUUCUAGGUUUUUCAGCUCGUGUAACUAGUUAUCUUGCUUAGCUUUCAUAUUGACCACUUUAAUUCCAGCAAGGCUUUCCCAUAUUCAUUUCUAUCGUUUACUUGUUUUGUUUUUCCCAUAUUCAUUUCUAUCAUGUACUUAUUUGGUUUUUGAUCCUUUCUUACAGUGGAAAAGUCACCAGACGCUUUGUUCCCAUUGAUAGGAUUCUAAAACCUGUUUUACUAGAAUGUGUGACUCCAGUGACUUGCUACUGGACUCUAUCCUUGAUUGUUCGUGAGGAAUCAGAAAUGGUGUUAGUUUACAAGGUAAAAAUUAUAUUUUGUUCGCGCUAUAUCUAACUCUAAGCAUCUUUUUACUUGGCACUGGAAUACUAUUGCUCGUUUCUGGAAGGCUAAACGUAGUCAAUGGUCACCUAAUAAGGCAUGUAACUGGGAUACCAUUUAGACAGCUGUUUUAUGUUUUUUACCUACUAAUGAUAAAUCUCAAAAUUUGUUUGCUAGAACUUGCGACCACCAGUUAAAAUGCUGGUUCAUGUCUGGAAGGCUUUGUGUGCUGCCACUGAUAAUAAAGGCGAAACUUGUAUACAUGCCAAGUAGGUGAUGGAUAGGUAUGAGUUCCUUAAUACUCUUGGAUUCACAAGAAAAAACGACUGCUAUGACUAUACCGGUUCUGGACCCACUGAAAUAAUAGUUUGGAAGGGAUUGGCCGAUUUACUAUAGAACUACCAGUGCAAGUGCUUUCUCAUUGCUCAAGAAAUUAGUGCAUAGGCUCUCAGUUUCAAGUUUCAAACUUUCGGUUUCUCCAACUCAGUCUCAACCUUCUCAUCAUGGGAUCCAACCCAUUAGGGUAAAACCCUGCACUGCUAGUCCAGGUAUGAUCAUAGGUAAUUACAGGCAAAGUUGAGCAGAUAUGAGUGUGGAUGCUGGAUAUGGGUACUGUUGGAGUAGUAUUCUCAUAAGCUGGUUGUUGCAGUCUACUUCGAAAUUCAAAUUGUAAAUCUAAUCUAAGAUGUUUGUUGUAACGAACUCUUCUCAACCUUCUAUUGUAUCUAUAUAUCAUAUGAUAUUGUACUCCGAACUUUCAUUAAUGAAUUCAAUCAUAAAUUCAAAUUUAUUUUUGUAUAUAGACUUAAGUACCAACCCUGAACCCGCAUACAUAUACUGUAUUUAUCUAAGGGGAUGCGGGCACAUGUUAAUCAACUACAUAUCGUAAUUCUAUUUCAAAAGUUGUAUAUUCAAAUUCUUAAAAGUAUUAAAAUUUGUUUUAUUUUCAACGUUAAAUUACUAAUUUUAAGUUCCUUAACAUGUGCCCUUAGGGGCACUUGUUUAGGUGAAAUAUUUAAGAGUUUGUGUUAUUAAUUGUGAGUUUAUUAUUAUUUGAUUCCUUAAACCCUAUGCAUUGUCAUUCUUAUAUUUAUAGAUCAAAAUGACUAUUUAAUGGAUAAAAAUUUGAUAAGAGGGAUAACUUAAUUUGGUAUUGUUAUUUUCUAAAAUUAGAUAGACAAUUUUUUUUCUUCGCAUUUGAAAAUAGAGGGACUUGAUGUGUUCAUUUUAUGUAUAGAUUAUUUUGAAAAGUUGUUAAUUGAGUUAAUGUAUCCAUUUUGUGUAUGAUGCAACUAAAAUAUCAUGUGUAUAUGUAUAUAAUUAAUCUUGACUUAUCAUAUUUAGAGACAUGUAAUAGGGUCCGUUUGUUUUAUAUUUUCUAAAAAAACAUUUUUUAUAUAAAUAAUUUAGAGACUACUCAUUAGAGACUUUUAAAAAAAAGGUCGGUGGAAAACUAUGCAUGUUAAAAUAGUUUUUCAUUAAUAUGAUUGAAAAAAUAUAGACAUCAUAGAUUAUGAUUUUCUCUCACUCUCCCUUCUAUUAAAAUUGAUUCUACAAAACUAAAUCAACAAAUAACUAUUUCAUUUUCAAACGUAAAAAUCAUUUUUCAAAUAUAACUAGAACAUAAAAAUUUAUUUUUUUUAAAAAUCUAAAACAAAUAGGCCCUUAGUGGUAUUGAUUAAAAAUUUAUUUAAAAAAGAAACUAAAUAUAUCUAAUAUUUUGAAAAUAAAUUUAUUAAAGGACAAUUUUGAAGGUGAGAAAAACACAAGAGGGGGGGGGGUUGAAUUGUGUUUUCUUUUUCUCUUUAAAAGUUCUUCUUCUGAAGUGAUCAGAAUCAGAUGCACAGCGGAAUAUAAAAUCAGAGUAAGAGAGAGAGAGAAAAGACACAGCAAUUUAUACAGGUUCCUUCCACAAAUCGAAAGUCAGUCCUGUCCCCCUUGCACUUCCAAGGAGAGUUUCACUAAGUAUAAUCACACAAGAUUACAACUGCUCAAUACUUAAACAAGUAUGAGACUUCAGAUUGCUCAAGCACACAGCAAGAGACUUCUAUGCUCAAACACACAAGUAAGAGACUUCAGAUGCUCAAGCACUAAAGCAAGAGACUUCUAAUUCAAACAGAAUUACAUAGAAAAUUGUUUGAAUUUGAACACUUGAUAUACAAUCAGUGGUGUUCACAAUACAAUGCAAAUAACAGACUCUUGACUUUAGAAUUUCUAAGAUUUAUCAAAUGUGUACAGAAAUUCUAAGUGCUUUGUGAGAGAGCAAUUUCAGCAGAGUUUCAGCUUGAUUUGUAUGCGUGUUGUUAGCUCUUGAACUUCAAGUCUUCACUCCUUUAUAUAGAGGUGUGAAAGAGACGUUGUGAAAUUGUUAGUACGUCAAAGAGUCGUUGUUGUAGCCUUGAUCAAGCACCAAUGAUCCUUUGCCUGAUUUGGAUAUAGUCCUAUGAAGAAUUGAUUUCAAAUCCAUUCUGAAUUUGAGGGAACAUUUCUGCAGGCAGAGCUGUUUUUCUUGUCCUGUAGCGUAGACAAAGAACAGAGUAGUGGAGGAAGUGGUUGUACGCUUCGUACAAAUGCAUUUUGUCAACUCUCUUGAGAGAUAAGCAUCCAAUGACUUUAGUAACGACCUUUCCACUUCUCUUUACUCUUUUCGCUUCCUUUGGGUGAGCUCUAAACAACUUAUUUGAAUCUUUAGAUAAAAUCUGCAGAUUCUGGUGAUGUACUUGCUUCUGAUGACUUGCUUCUGAACUUCUGCUUCUGAUGACGUCAUCAGGUGCAUUUCUUUCAGGAGCACUUUUCCUUCAGGAGCAUCCUAAUCUUCAGAGGCGAAUUUCAUCAGAUGCAAUAGGCUAUUCUUUUGAUCAAAUCUUUGCCUCUCUUUUGUUCUUCCAAGACCUUAUAAAUAAUUCAGACAUGACUAUGGUCAUGUACAUUUGAACAAAUAAUUAGCUAGAUCCAAUUGACAAUUUUUAAUACCUUGUUAUCAUCAAAACUUAUUCAGGUUUAUUGUUAAACACAUUUUGUUCCAACAAAUUUUUGUUAAAAAAAUGUUUAUAUUUAUUAAGAGUUUAAUUAUCAUACAUUGACAAAUUUAUUUUACACGUGUAUUUAAUAAUUUGUUGUCACGUUAAUCAACAAAUAUGUGUUAAAAAAUUUAUUAUUAUAUGAGAAAAUAAAAUGUUAAAUACAUAUGUAAAAUAAUUAGACAUUGAAAUGAUAUUUUAGGUUCAUCUAUGAAAAACCGCUUUUAUUGAUGAUGUUGUAGUUGAUAUUAGAUAUCUACCAAAAAAAAAAAAGAUAAGUAAGUAGUUAAUAAGAUCCAUAAAAAACGAAUUGUUAAAAAGAACUUAUAACAGAAAAAGAAUUCUUUGAAAAAAAAAAAACAAAAAAAGAAUUAAGUUUAAUUUUUAAUUAAAUUUUAUUUACGUUUGGUCUGAAUUUUAAAUUACCAGAAUUUUACUAGGAGUUAAUAAUUGAAGAGAAUUGCUGUUCCCACAUGUUGUUUGGCUGUGCCACACGAGUAAAAUACCAAAAUGCCCUUCGGCAGUUUGCUACCGAAGUUUUUAGGAAACCGGCGGCAGUUAACUGCCGAGGAAAACCUUGGUAGUAAACUGCCAAGGAAAUCUGAUUAUGCAGACAGUGGGUUCUGCAUAAUUCUAAGUAUUUCCAAGCCAUUUUUUCGGCCAGUUUUUACCUGUAAUUAAACCAGAACAUUUCCAAAGGUAAAAUAAUUCAUACAAGAUUGAAACUCGAACAUAAUGAAGAUAAAUACAAUAUCUUUUACAAUUGUUCAUAAUUAAAUUAAAUCGACAUUUGGUUAAAAUUAAACAAACGUUUGAAAUUCAUCAAAACAUUACAAAGUGUCCAUAAUUAAACUACUCAUUACACAUCAUUAAAUUAAAUCCCUACUUACAUUCAACGCAAUUACAUAUGGAACAAACAUACAUAUAUAAUAUAUUAUCUUCCACCAUAUUCCGAAACAUAAAUCCGACGUCGCCGUCGUCGCGAAUAAGCAAAGGCAUAUAGCUUGCCGUUUUCCAUGCGUAUUCAUCUCUAUCUUCUCAAAGGUCUAUGCAUGGCAUUUGACCAAACAAGUGACGUGUAUAUUGAUUUUCACCAAGAUGCUCAAAAUAAGUGUUAAGUUGUGCUUUCAAAUUGUCAAGAGAGUCCGUCGGCGUUAUCAUAACCUUAACCGUCUUUUUAAACGCGGAGUACCUAACCCGCCCUUCAAUUUGUGCAACCUCAGACAUGUCUCACUUGAAAUUUUUUGUAACAAAAGAAUCAUAUAUUAGAACAAAAUUAAAUGGAAUGUAAUAACGAAUAAAUGAAAUGCGGAAACAUUAAAAAGCUAUAAAUAAGUAUUGCAUUAUUUUCACCACAUAAAAAUCAUAUUAUCAUAUAUAUAUAUAUAUAUAUAUAUAUAUAUAUAUAUAUAUAUCAAUAUAAAUUACAUAAUGUUAGUUAUAUAUUGGCCACCAAAAAAUUGGCGUUACAAUUUCGACCCCAAAAAAUACAUCGGUGUAAUUUCUACCAAAAAAAAGAACUAACACCGACAAAAAAAUCACUCAUUAAAGACCAAGUGAUUGGAGAAGAUCAAGUGACAUAGAAUCUUCCUCAUCUUCCGCAAUAACUUCAAAUUGUUGCUUUGGUUUUUCGGGAGUGUCCAACAAAAUAGGCGCCGCUUUGUUUGACUCCUUUUGUGGUUUGGACGAUUUGUUUCCACUUUCAAUAGCCAUGAGCUUUCGAAACAACUCAUGUCGAUCCAAAUACUCAUCUUCCCAAGUCACCGCAUCUUCUUUCUUGUGAUUGUGCCACUCCGUAGAUGAUGGAGGUAGUGGACAACCAUUCUUCAAGGAAAUAAGCACAAAAUGAUUUGGAAUUGCCCCAAGGCACAAGAUGGGAGUUUUUUGAUUACCCGGCGGUGGUGGCCCUCUUAGUGGGAAAAACGAUUCCGAGUUUCCAACUUCAAGAUUUGUCAACACAACCACACACAUUUUGUAAUAAUUAGCAACAAUGUGUCCCAUGUCCGAAAAAGUCAACCACUUAUCAACAAGAUAUGCACAAGUUUUUGUAUUUGCGGGAGGAUGUAAUCCGUUUAAAAUGUAGUUAUAACGAUCCUCACCCGCAAAUACUUCAACAUAAUCAUCUCUAUGAUCCAUCAACUCUUGGAUAAGAUGUGUACGGAUCAUGAGAUGAUUUUUUUCGGUCAAGCCCAUGAACUCGGCUAUAGCCCGGAAUCCGCAAUGUCCAUCGCCGAUAACAUCCACCACUUUUUCAAUAAAUGGAAGCAUGAAGCGUGGCAUAUAAUCAAUAGGACGCAUAACUGGGAUAGCCUUAGGCUUUGGAUACCGAGUAGGUGGUGGAAGUGGGGAAAGUGAUGUUUUACCAAGACGAGCACCUUUUUUCCUUUUAUAUGAUGAUGUAGUUGGUGAUGGUGACGGUUGGCUAUCCGGAUUUUGGGAAUCAACAACCUCCCAAGAAGAAGGGAUCCGACUAGUCGAUGUAAUUUUUCCUUUAGACCUCGCAAUGUCGACUUUUUUCUUUGCUCCCUUGGUUGGUACUUUUCGUGGUGGUGGAGACAUCAAGGUGGUUUCAGGAAAUGCCAAUUGCCGCAAACCCUCUUUGACCUCAAGCUUCAUUUGGAAAGGGAGUUUCUUUAGACGCUCUACAAUAGCCUUCAACUCAACCUCGACACAAAAAGCAUCUUCAUUACUUUCUUCACCCAUAGAUAACCGAAGCCAAUGGUGGUAUAUCUCAUCCAAUAAAAUUGGCUUCUCUUGCAGGAGUUUUGUAGCAAUUUCGCAUGCACAUGGUAGCCCAUAAGAUGUCCUUUGAACACAACCACUGUUGAGAAAAUAUUCAUAAAUCCCUAUUUUAGUUUUAAAGAUGAAAAAAUAUAUUUCAAUUUUAUUUUAUAAAUGGAUUCUGAUAUUAUUGUAUUUAACAUCUUUGUAUGAGUAUUUUUUAGCUGCAGGAACUCAAGCUCAAAAAGGUUGAUAUAACUAGUUCCCUAAAAUUAUUUGAGUAUCUCAUACAAUAGACAAAGCAAGAAAUUAAUGGAUAAAAAUACAAUGGACAAAAUUGGAUAUACUUGCUCAAAAAUUGAGCAACACGUUGGCACACAUACUGCAAGUGAUUUUAUGCUGCUAGUCUCUUUUAUUGUCUCCAAUACCACUACACUUCCAAUCAAAUGGUAAAAGCAAGUACAAACAAAUAUCUUCUUUUGGCUAUAAGAGGAACAAGGAACAAAAUGGAUGCAAGCUGUAAGUUUCCAUAUAUGUACCUUCCUCAUCAAAAUGCUUACACGUGGGACACAAAGAAAGCAAGAUCAAAUAAGUGGCUUUGAUUUCAAAAGGGAUUAAAUGGAUAAAAUUUGAGCAUACACGUGGAUAUACAAGAAAAGCAAUAUGUGUUUUGGUUGGUUCAUUUGCAACAUGUGGGACCAUGGCCUUGAAGAACAAGUUAUCUCCACACAUGUGAGAUUGCAUGACUCAUACGCUCCUCACGUGGGAGAAGAGAAGGAGCAAUUGGUUUGAGAAAUUUUGUGCCUAUAAAUAUCAAGCCAUCAGCUGAAGGAAAGACACCGAAUUUUUUGAGAAAGCAAGCAAUAUACUCACAAGCAAAAAUUCACAAAGCUCUCUCUUUUUAUUUCAAGUGAACUAAAUCGCUCUUUUGUUCUUUGAGCUCUUUUUAGUUUCUUUACUACAAAUAUUGUAUUUUGGUCCAAAUAAGAUUUUAUUUCUUAUUGGAUUGUAAAAGCUUGUAGGUAACAAGUGUGUAAAAAAAGGGUAAAAUUACUCGGUUGCAGAAAAGAUCAGGAAGAUCUAGCAAGGGGUAAUUGUUACUCGUCUUUUUUGGUUGUAAAAACAAAGGUGGAUUUACUCAUUGCAGGAAAGAUCAGUCGGAUCUAGCAAGAGUAAAGGUUACUCAUUUGUGAAAAAGGAAAAGAGGAGUUGUGGUUAACGUUACUUAACACAACUACCUAGUGGAUAAUCUCACACUUGUGUGGGGAGUGGAAGUAGCCGGCGUUUGGCGAACCACGAUAACUUUUGUGUGUCAUUUCUCUCUCCCUACUUACUUUUAAUUUAUUGUUCAAAAUCACACACCUCACGAUUAUUAUUGUCAUUAUUUACUAACAAACUAAUUGUGAUUGUUAAUUUAAAAGAAAAUUUUUAUUAGACAAAUUUUAAACAGGUCACAAUUCAAACCCCCCCUUUCUUGUGAAAAUAUUUUACUUCAAUUGGUAUCAGAUCACUGCCUCUAAAAAGCCUACGCACCCAACGGUGCAGGAGGAAAAGAUCCAUAAAAUAAGUCUCAACACAGCCUAAACACCCAACGGUGUAGAAGGAAGAAAAUUCAAAGCCUAAACACCCAACGGUGUAGAAGAAUCAAGAAAAGAAAAUAUGUCUAAAAUAAAGUUUAUGUCCGAAGGUGGUUCUUCAAACAGACCACCACUUUUUGAAGGAACAGACUAUUAUUAUUGGAAAGGAAAAAUGGAAUUAUUUUUACAAUCGCAAGAUAAUCACAUGUGGACGGUAGUUGAAAAUGGAAACUACAUUCCAUAUGAUGAAGAUCUAAAUGAAAAGAAAAAGGAAGACUGGUCAGAAGAAGAAGGUAAGCGCAUGUUAUUAAAUUUUAAAGCUAAACUAUUUCUAACCAUGGCGUUGAGCAGGGAAGAAUAUGAUAGAGUACAAGAAUGCAAAAACGCCAAAGAAAUUUGGGAUACAUUAAAGGUACAUCAUGAAGGCACCAGUCACGUAAAGGAAACAAGAAUUGACAUUGGUGUUCGAAAGUUUGAACUAUUCGAAAUGAAAGAAACCGAAACCAUAGGUGAAAUGUAUGGAAGGUUUACUAUCAUUAUGAAUGAGUUACGCUCUCUUGAAAAGGAUUUUACAAUCCAUGAAAGAGUAAGAAAAAUUUUGAGAUGUCUCCCAAGAUCUUGGAGACACAUUGUAACAGCCAUAACAGAAGCAAAAGAUCUGAAAAAACUCAGAUUAGAAGAUCUUAUUGGAUCUCUAAAAGCUCAUGAAGUCCUUUUGCAAGAGGAUAAAUCCUCAAACAAAAGCAAAAUGAUUGCACUCAAAACAAAUCAAGAAUCACUAAAUCAAGAACUUGAAAUGAACUUCGACAAUCAACAACAAGAACUUGAUGAAGAAGAUCAUCAAGAUCAAAUCAUUCUUCUCACCAGAAAACUUCAGAGAAUGAUUCAAAGAAGAGAUCAAAACAAAAGAAAUUUCCCAGCCAGAAAAGAAAACGCAAAGACUGAGCUUGACAAAAGUCAAGUUACGUGCUACGGGUGCUACAAACUGGGACACUACAAAAAUGAAUGUCCUCUAAACAAAAGAAAAUCAAGCAACCUUCAAACAAAUCAAAAAUCUUUCAUGACUACGUGGGAUGAACCAGAAGAACAAACAAAUGAAGAUGAACAAGCAGAUCUUUGCUUAAUGGCUAAAUCAGAUAAUGAAGAGGUAAAUCUUGAUCCUUGCUCAUCAUGCGAAAAAACUGAACAUUUGUUUGAUAAUCUUUUUUACAGUUCUCAAAUGUUGGAACAAGAAUGUGAAAGAUUAAGAAAUGAAAAUCUUGAACUAAGAAAGGAAAAGGAAAUCUUGGAAAAAGAAAACAAAGAUCUGAUUAAAAAUAUUCAACAUUCUGAAUCAAAAGAAGUCUCUGAAAACAAAAAUAACUCUCAAAAGGAAAACAUCAUUUUAAAAGAAAAUGUUUUAAAAUUAAAAAAUGAUAUCUCAAACUUUAUUAAAUCUACUGAAACAUUUCAAAAAAUUAUGGGAUCACAAGUAAGUGUUUUUGAUAAAGCAUGUAUAGGUUUCAAAACUGAUCAAAAACAAAAACUUUAUGAGAACUUCUUCAUUCCAAAAAAAAAUAAAAACACAUGUGAAAGAUACAAAUGUACAUAUUGUGAAAAAUAUGGACACCUUGAACCUUUUUGUUUCAGAAAAAGAAAGAGAUUAGCGUCACAAAAAUUUAAAAAUAAUUACACUAAUUUUCAUAAAAAGGAAACUCUUAAUAACACUAACCAUCAAGGACCCAAAAAAAUAUGGGUACCCAAAGCAUUACUAACUUCUACUGCAGGAAUGUCUCAUAACAGUCAAGAAAAAGCCCUGGUACUUGGACAGUGGAUGCUCAAGACAUAUGACUGGAGAUAAACAAAGCUUUCUCUCCUUCACCAAAAAGGAAGGAGGAUUGGUAACCUUCGGUAAUAAUGAAAAAUCUCGGAUUAAGUGUAUAGGUGUUAUUGGUAAGAUAAAUUCUGCUAAAAUUGAAAAUGUUCAAUAUGUAGAAGGAUUAAAACAUAACCUAAUUAGCAUCAGUCAAUUGUGUGAUAGUGGUUUUGAAGUAAUAUUCAAACCUCACACAUGCGAAGUCAGACAAAUAUCUUCAGGAAAAAUCCUAUUUACCGGAUCAAGAAAUAAAAAUGUCUACACUCUAUACUUAGAUGAACUCCCUGUCGAAUCAUGCUUUAUAUCCCUUGAAAAGGAUAAAUGGAUUUGGCAUAAAAGGGCAGGCCAUAUAAGUAUGGAAACAAUUUCCAGAAUAUCAAAACUUGAUUUAGUAAGAGGACUUCCUAAGAUUAACUAUGAGAAGGAUAAAAUAUGUGAAGCAUGCGUCAGAGGAAAACAAGUCAAAAGUAGUUUUCCUCCAAAAGAAUUCAUUUCAACAAAAAGACUUCUUGAAUUACUUCACAUAGAUUUAUUUGGACCUAUCUCAAUAGAAAGUCUUGGUGGCAAAAAAUAUGGCUUUGUAAUCGUUGAUGAUUUUUCCAGAUUCACUUGGGUUUUAUUUUUGAAACAUAAAAAUGAUUCUUUUGAAGCUUUUCAAACCUUUUGCAAAAAAGUUCAAAAUGAGAAAGAAAUGAACAUUAUCGCAGUAAGAAGUGAUCAUGGAGGAGAAUUUGAAAAUGCCUCUUUUGAACAAUUCUUCAGUGAUAAUGGAAUAUCUCAUAAUUUUUCCUGUCCUAGAACUCCUCAACAAAAUGGAGUUGUUGAAAGAAAAAAUAGGACUUUGCAAGAAAUGGCAAGAACUAUUUUAAAUGAAUCAAAUGUUGAGAAAUAUUUUUGGGCAGAAGCCAUAAAUACAUCUUGCUACAUUUUAAACAGAGUUUCAAUAAGAAAAGUUUUAAACAAAACCCCGUAUGAACUCUGGAAAGAAAGAAAGCCAGACAUUUCUUAUUUUCAUAUUUUUGGAUGUUAUUGUUAUAUUUUAAACAACAAAGAUAACCUAGGAAAAUUUGAUUCAAAAUCAGACAAAGCUAUAUUUCUUGGUUACUCUGCUACUUCAAAAGCUUAUAGGGUGUAUAACUUGAGAACAAAAGUUCUAGAAGAAAGUAUGCACAUAAAAUUUGAUGAAUUUGAGGAACUUGAGGCUCAAGAAAGAAUUUUUGAAGAAGAUGAGGAAGCAAGUCAGAUCAACCCCGACAUCGAAAAAAUUCAACAACAAUCAUUAAAUGAAGAAGUUUCUCUAAGUCCUCCAAAAUCAUGGAGAAUCGUAGAUCAUCACCCUCAAGAACAAAUUAUUGGUGAAACCACAGAUGGAGUAAGAACAAGAAGAUCCUUUCAAACAAAUGACUUCGCAAUGAUCUCACAAAUUGAACCAAAAUCAAUAAAGGAAGCAAUUAUUGAUGAAUCAUGGGUCGAAGCAAUGAAAGAAGAACUAUAUCAAUUUGAAAAAAAUCAAGUUUGGACUCUUGUACCUAAUCCUCAAACUCAAUCUAUCAUUGGUACAAGAUGGGUAUUUAGAAACAAAUUAGAUGAAGAAGGAAAAGUAACACGCAACAAGGCCAGAUUGGUAGCUCAAGGUUACAAUCAACAAGAAGGCAUUGACUACGAUGAAACCUAUGCUCCUGUGGGUAGACUUGAAGCCAUAAGAAUUCUUCUUGCAUAUGCAUCUCAUAAGUGCAUCAAACUUUUUCAAAUGGACGUAAAAAGUGCUUUCUUAAAUGGUUUUUUAAAUGAAGAGGUUUAUGUUCAUCAACCUCCUGGUUUUGAAAAUUUAGAAAAACCAAAUCACGUGUUCAAACUAACCAAAGCUCUAUAUGGACUAAAACAAGCUCCAAGAGCCUGGUAUGAAAGAUUGAGCAUUUUUUUGAUUAAAAAUGGGUUUUCACGAGGAAAAAUUGACACCACACUUUUUAGAAAAAUUGACAAAAAUGAUUUAUUAAUCGUACAAGUGUACGUCGAUGAUAUCAUUUUUGGAGCUACAAAUGAAAAAAUGUGUGAUGAUUUUUCAAAACUCAUGGAAAGUGAAUUUGAAAUGAGUAUGAUGGGGGAACUUAAAUUCUUUUUGGGAUUACAAGUCAAACAACACAAAGAUGGUAUUUUCAUUUGUCAAGAAAAAUAUAUCAAAGAUCUUCUUAAAAAAUAUAAAAUGAAUGAAGCCAAAAUUAUGACUACUCCUAUGCACCCUUCAUCAAAUCUUGACAAAGAUGAAAAUGGAAAAGAUUUUUCUGAAAAAGAAUAUAGAGGAAUGAUAGGUUCUCUUUUAUAUUUAACUGCCAGUAGACCUGACAUUGUUUUUGCAGUUGGUCUAUGUGCUAGAUUUCAAACUGCUCCAAAAGAGUCACACUACACCGCAGUUAAAAGAAUUUUCAGAUACCUUGUAGGCACUCCAAGUGUCGGUCUAUGGUAUAAAAAGGGAACACAUUUUGAUCUUAUGGCAUAUUGUGAUGCUGACUACGCCGGAGAUAAAAUAGAAAGAAAAAGUACAAGUGGCGCAUGUCAACUACUUGGAGAAGCUUUAGUCAGCUGGUGUUGUCGAAAACAAAGCACUAUAGCACUAUCCACCACAGAAGCUGAAUAUAUUUCCGCUGCAAACUGCUGCUCUCAGGUAUUAUGGAUUAGAAAUCAAUUAGAAGAUUUUUCUCUAAGGUACGCAAAUAUUCAAAUAUUAUGCGAUAAUACUAAUGCUAUAAAUUUAUCAAAAAAUCCUAUUCAACAUUCCAGAUCAAAACACAUCGAAAUUAAGCAUCACUUUAUUCGUGACCAUGUGAGUAAAAAGGAAGUUGAACUUGUUUUUGUUAAUACAAACGAUCAAUUAGCUGAUAUUUUUACAAAACCAUUAGUAGAGGAUCGUUUUCUUCUCUUAAAAGAUAAACUAAAAAUAAUUAACAAUCCUUUUAAAUAUUAAUUUUUUUUCGGCUGACACAAGAAAAGAAAUACAUUUUUAUUAGUAUCAUUAUUUCUUUCUCUCUUGUUAAUUGAUUUUCAAAUUAACCGUUCCACUUCUCCACAAAAUAUUCCAAUUAAUUGAUUUUCUUCCUUGUUUCUCUCAACUCACACGCCUUUCCUUUCUGCUUUGUAACACUAAUCAAAAAAGAUCCUUUUCUCAUAAGCUAAUCACGGCCGUUCAUCUCCUUGAUCUCAACUUGAUAAAAAGGCUAACCUAAAAAUUUCAUCAUUUUCUUUUCUGAUUACGUAGACAUAACUAUGCUAUUAACAUCAACUCAAAGCCAUCACUCUUGUCCACUCCAAUAUUUUCUUCCUCACCAUAAAACUUCAUUCUUCCAUAGUCAUUCAUUCUAUCCUCAAAUCAAAAAUGGAAAAAUCAAAACAAACCUUCUCUGAACUCCUCUCCUUUGUCGAUCAACAAAACCUUCCCUCAGCAAGCCAUUCACCCCCACAAACUCCUCCUGCUGCAUUUACAUGUUCUCCACAAAACAUCACCACUACCUCAAGUCUAAAUCCUCUCUCAAAAAUCGAACCUUACUCUUGCUCCCCUCCUAAAAGCUUUACAACCUCUGCUCCUGUGAAAGCUCAAACCUUUGAUGAACUAAUCAACAUCAAACCCAAACAAUCCUUUUCAAAUGAACUAAGAAAAUCCAUUAGACUCUCCUCUAAACCUUCGAAAGUCUCUUACAUUGACCUUGAGAAUGAAUCUGAGACCUUUACACAAGCUCAAAACCCUGCCAAACGACUCAAACAACACUCAUCAGCCUUUUCACCGUACGAUCGAAAAACUGCUCAAAAAGAGAAAAUGCUUGAUGAAAUUUUCUCUGAGUCAAUCGAUACUAAAGAAAAGGUGUUGGUAAAUCCAUAUUCUGAAAAUGAUGUCCUGGAAAGUACAAUAAAAAGACCUCUCUCAGAAAGCAAAUCCUUCAACUUUGAGGAUAUAAAAAAAAAAGGAAAUCCAACUGGAUGAGGCACUGGAAGCUAUUGGAUGGAAAGAAUUUUGUGAAAUAGAUAAGGUAAUUUACACUGAUCUUGUCCAAAAUUUUUACUCCUCUGCAACCGUUCUUGAAGGACAUGAAGUGAUCAUUUGUCAAAUGAAUCAAACCAAUAUCUACAUCACCACUGACAUUUUGGCUAAAGUUUUUAAUAUUCCAAAUUCUGGUGUCAAGCUCUUUGGAAGAAAGUGGUAUGAUGAAGUCAAACCUAAACUCAAUCGAAACACUAUCCUAAGCAACAUGUUUGAUAAAGUCACCCUUGGUAAAGAUUUCCCUGUAACCGAUUUGAAAAACGAGUUUAAGAUUCUUCACAAUCUGUGUUCCCACUGCAUUUUACCUAGGAGUAAAUGCAAGUAUCGAGUGAACGACACUGAUAUUAUGAUUCUCUAUCACUUAACUCAUGGGAAAAGAAUCAAUCUCCCCUAUGUCAUCAUUCAACAUAUGAUGAAUGCAAUAGCAAGCAACAAUGGGAAUGAUGGUCUCCCCUAUGCCAUGCCACUUACUAAAAUCUUUAAAGAAUUCAAAAUGUCAUUUAUAGGAGAAGUGGCCAAAAGGAACUUGAAGUACUUUACUUCAAAAAAUGUGUCUCACAUCAAGCUGAGUGUUAAUCCUCUUGCUCAACCACUUCAUAACAUUCCCCUUCCAAUGGAAGCUUUUAACACACAAGAAGAAGAAGAAAAUCCUCUUCACAAUCUAGUGAAUGCGAUAAUUGUCAACGACCAUUUGUCCUCUCAAUCUGCUCCAUCCAACUCUCAUGGCUCUCAAAAUCAUGAACUAGCCAACCUUUUUGCUCUCAAUGUAUCAACAGAUCUCAAACUUUCCACUGGUCUUGACAAUUCUUCUGCUCCAAUCAUUUCUGCCCCUUUACCAAACGUUGAAAAUUCUGCUCUGUUCGGCACCUCUUGUUUGAAUAAAUUCAUUCACUCUCCAAAGAAUGACACUCUCCCUCUGAGUGAGAUGCCUCAAAUCCCUUCACACUUUAGUUCUUUUGGUAGCUUUAAAUCCACUGGAACAUCUCCUAAGAAUGAUCCUCCACAAGAACCUGAGAACUCAGUCAUCUCAAAUGAAAUGUUGUUUGCUGAAGUUACCUCUCUUCGUGGAGAUGUGAACAAUCUGCGUGAAUGUUUCGUUUCAUUCAUGUUUCAAUAUCUGGGCAUGAUGGCACCUGUUCCCGGCGGUGAUCCUGGUUCCUCAUCCAACCCACCUCCAAAUCCUCUGUAGCUUGCUCUAUUUCAAUAACUGGCUCUUUUUGACGAAGACAAAAGGGGGAGAAAGCAUGUGUUACAACACUGCAUGAACGAAUUUGAAAAAUGCUCCUUUUAUAUCUUUUGGGUGUAGACUAUUAAGCACAUGGGUGAACCUUGUUUACUUUGUUUAGUAUUUAUGUCUUUAUAUUUUUAGUCUUCUGUUUUUGAGCCAAGCAUCCUAAAAAUGGAACUUCAAAGUUAUAUGUAUUUAUAUGUAUUUUAAAAAAACUAGUAAAUUUGUUCUAUGCUUUUGUUGCCUCUUUAAUGGACACAAGUGAAUGUAAUGAGAAAUGCAUGACUGUGUUAAAAAGGCGUCCAUCACAACAUUACAAGUAACUUAUUAAACUGAGUUAAGAAAAUUAAAAACCUGGAAUGUCAAAUUAAGGGGGAGCCUAUUUUAUAUGGGUCAUUCUCUUCGCUCUCAAAAGAUACAUAUUUAAUUGAGGGGGAGUUUUGAAAUCGGAACACAUUUAUAAAUCAAAUUCUAAUAUAUUUUGUCAUCGUCAAAAAGGGGGAGAAUGUUGAGAAAAUAUUCAUAAAUCCCUAUUUUAGUUUUAAAGAUGAAAAAAUAUAUUUCAAUUUUAUUUUAUAAAUGGAUUCUGAUAUUAUUGUAUUUAACAUCUUUGUAUGAGUAUUUUUUAGCUGCAGGAACUCAAGCUCAAAAAGGUUGAUAUAACUAGUUCCCUAAAAUUAUUUGAGUAUCUCAUACAAUAGACAAAGCAAGAAAUUAAUGGAUAAAAAUACAAUGGACAAAAUUGGAUAUACUUGCUCAAAAAUUGAGCAACACGUUGGCACACAUACUGCAAGUGAUUUUAUGCUGCUAGUCUCUUUUAUUGUCUCCAAUACCACUACACUUCCAAUCAAAUGGUAAAAGCAAGUACAAACAAAUAUCUUCUUUUGGCUAUAAGAGGAACAAGGAACAAAAUGGAUGCAAGCUGUAAGUUUCCAUAUAUGUACCUUCCUCAUCAAAAUGCUUACACGUGGGACACAAAGAAAGCAAGAUCAAAUAAGUGGCUUUGAUUUCAAAAGGGAUUAAAUGGAUAAAAUUUGAGCAUACACGUGGAUAUACAAGAAAAGCAAUAUGUGUUUUGGUUGGUUCAUUUGCAACAUGUGGGACCAUGGCCUUGAAGAACAAGUUAUCUCCACACAUGUGAGAUUGCAUGACUCAUACGCUCCUCACGUGGGAGAAGAGAAGGAGCAAUUGGUUUGAGAAAUUUUGUGCCUAUAAAUAUCAAGCCAUCAGCUGAAGGAAAGACACCGAAUUUUUUGAGAAAGCAAGCAAUAUACUCACAAGCAAAAAUUCACAAAGCUCUCUCUUUUUAUUUCAAGUGAACUAAAUCGCUCUUUUGUUCUUUGAGCUCUUUUUAGUUUCUUUACUACAAAUAUUGUAUUUUGGUCCAAAUAAGAUUUUAUUUCUUAUUGGAUUGUAAAAGCUUGUAGGUAACAAGUGUGUAAAAAAAGGGUAAAAUUACUCGGUUGCAGAAAAGAUCAGGAAGAUCUAGCAAGGGGUAAUUGUUACUCGUCUUUUUUGGUUGUAAAAACAAAGGUGGAUUUACUCAUUGCAGGAAAGAUCAGUCGGAUCUAGCAAGAGUAAAGGUUACUCAUUUGUGAAAAAGGAAAAGAGGAGUUGUGGUUAACGUUACUUAACACAACUACCUAGUGGAUAAUCUCACACUUGUGUGGGGAGUGGAAGUAGCCGGCGUUUGGCGAACCACGAUAACUUUUGUGUGUCAUUUCUCUCUCCCUACUUACUUUUAAUUUAUUGUUCAAAAUCACACACCUCACGAUUAUUAUUGUCAUUAUUUACUAACAAACUAAUUGUGAUUGUUAAUUUAAAAGAAAAUUUUUAUUAGACAAAUUUUAAACAGGUCACAAUUCAAACCCCCCCUUUCUUGUGAAAAUAUUUUACUUCAAACCACAAAUGUCAUUGUCCAUGCACAAUGUUUCCCUACAACGUUUUUCUUCCAAAGCAAUGUUGUCCAAAGCAUUUCUAGACACUUGACCACCUAACCCCGAGUACAAAGUGACAUGUUUGAAUCUAUGUUCCAACACGCAAACAUUUUGACCAAAGGAUGUUUGUAUAGCGGUGAACUGGAGCAACAACAUAUGAUGUAUUUUCUCCCAACAAGUACCCAAAUCACCCACACUAUUGUCCAAGUAUUUCUUCAACAAAGCAUGGGCCGAUUCGACCCUAUUUGUGGUCCUGCAACCAAGAUGCAACACAUGGUCUGUCCAUGCCCUCACAAUUUUGUCCUUCACUUCAUUCAAGGUGGUCAUGGCAUAAUCUACAAAAAUUGGGAAAUCACUACAUGAAUCUUUGAACUCCACUAAUGCAUUUGCAUAUAACUGUUAAGUGGGCGAUUCAACCAUAGCUUUCCAUGCGUUCAUUAUCUUCUUCACCACAUCCCGAUUGCUCACCUCUUUCCCAUCCUUUUUAAAGCCCAAAGGAUAUUUACAAUUCAAGACACACCUUUGUUUAACAUUAGCUUGCACAUGAAAAUAACAAUUCAAUGCAUAACUUUCCGGAAAAACAUGUGCAACCGCUUUCAUCAAAGACAUAUCCCUAUCGGUAACAAUCACCUUAGGCAUAUUCAUCUUUGACGAAAGAAGUUUACGCAACAUUGUUAAAACCCAAACAAAGUUUUCUUCUUUCUCAUGUGUCAUAAAUCCAAACCCAACCGAAUAUGUCAAAUCGGUUGAAGUCACCCCAACUACCUCAAACAUUGGCAUCCUAUACAUGUUGGUCUUGUACGUGGAGUCCAUAACCAAAAUCGUUGGAAAAUUGUUAAACAACUUAAUGGAUGUUGGAUGAGCCCAAAAAAUAUCUUCAAUAGUAUUACUUUCAAGUUGUGUUCUUGAGUAAUAAGUAUAGUUGUGCUCCUCCAACUUCGAGAUUAGAAAUUGCAACGGUUUCUUGUCACCCCUAUUUGCCUUCCAUAUUUGUUGACGUUCAUUGUACACUUGCUUCACAUUUGUCAUGCAAUGUGGUCUCUGGUUCUUCAAGUGUAUCAAAAUAUUUCUUGGAAGCAUCUUGCUCUUGGUCAAGUCACGUACGAUCUUCUUGUCGUCCUCCUUUAAUCUACCGGCAAGAAUGUGUCCUUCUAAAGCCGGCUCCAUGGGAUGGUUGUGAACUCCAUUAAGAAUGUUCAAUCCCCAUUCCUUUGUUUGCUUACUUUGAUAUCCACUAAUCAUGAAUAAGCAACCGCAUUUUCUUGAGCCCGUCUUCGCAUGCUUCGGUUUUUUUUUCCGGAACUAUGUGAGUUCCACUCCUUUCACACACUAGCCGGAACAUUGGAUUGAUCAAGCUUGAUCUUUGUGUGACAAUUGUAAAUCCCGCCUUAUUUGCUUGUCGACGCACCCACUCAAGCAAUUCAUCUCUAUUUUUCGACUUAACGUCGUCUGAAAAAAACUUAGCCGUGUCGACCUCGUGGGGUUAAAGUGGGAGUACACCGGAGCCGCCAACAUAUUUUGAAGCUUCAACAUGGACGGAAGCUCCAUCUAUGUUUGUUUUCGCUUCAACAUUAGGCGGUUUGACAUCUCCGGAAUUUUCGACAAAAUUUUCUUUUGUCUCUCCCGGAACAUCUUUCGGAUUCUUUACCAUUACUAUAAUUAAACAACACAUAAAUAUGAAUUAACAACUAAGUAAUGUAUAAACAUCAAUGCCAUAAUGAAUCAAAACAAAAAAAACAAAAGAAAAAAUUUUUGGAAAAUCUGGCAGUGGCUGCCAUUUUUUCGUGGUGAAAAUUUUCACCAAGAGUUCCUCGAUACCUAGCUACCGAGGUUUUCCUCGGCACUAAACUACCGAAGUUUUCCUCGGCAGUUAACUGCCAAGGAUUCCCAUGACAGGGUUCUACGUAACUAACGUAGAUACCCCUAAAGCACCCAAAAAAUGAAUCAAAUAAAAUGCACAAUAUCUGUUUUUUUACGUCAAUAGUGUGUUGAUACCUCCUAUGCUUGAUGCUUGAAUGAUUUUGGAUCAAAAAUUGAUUACAAAAAAAAUGGAUUUUGGGAUUGAAUGGGGUUGGAAAUGAAGGUGAUGAAGAAAAUAGUGUGUAGGGGGAGCAGGUAGCUGUUUCAUCGGAUGAAACAUUUUCCUCGGCAGUUAACUGCAGCCGGAUUUCAAAUUCCUCGGCAGUUAACUGCCGAGGGGAUAUUUGCGUAAAUUACUCGUGUGGCACAGCCAUACUAUAUGUGGGAAGAGCAAUUCUCAUAAUUGAAACAAUAAAACAAACAUGACAAGUAAUUUAAUCAAAACGGGGAUUUAGGAGUACUUUAGCUAGAUAUAAAACUGUCUGAAGCUACCAUGAUGAGCUGCUCCGCCACAGUUGGCCGCGCCGGCGCCACUGCCACUGCCGGUGGCGGUUGUGUUCCUCACCUCCACCACUUCCGUACAUCAUUUUCUUCCCCAUUCCAACUCCAAUCCCACAGAAACUCUAAACCAUUACGCGCCACAAUCACAAUUUCAUGUUCUUCAAACAAAGCAAAGCAACUUCGCGAAAUUCUCGAUUCACCAGGAGUUCAUCAAGGUCCAGCAUGUUUCGACGCACUCAGUGCAAAUCUCGUUCAAUCCGCUGGUUUUCCGUUAUGUUUCACAAGCGGUUUUUCUAUCUCUGCUUCUCGAUUGGGAUUGCCUGAUACAGGCUAUUUGUCUUACGGUGAAAUCUUCGAUCAAGGUCUUCUUAUUACUCAAUCUGUGGAUAUUCCUGUUAUUGGUGAUGCUGAUAAUGGUUACGGUAAUGCCAUGAAUGUUAAGAGAACCGUUAAGGGUUAUGUUAAUGCUGGUUUUGCUGGUAUCAUUCUUGAGGAUCAGGUUAGUUAAGGAUUUUAGUUGGAUACAUCGUCAGUGUAAAACUUUUUGCACAUGCAUCAAAUCAUAUCACACUUUGUGUGUGGAUAUUUGUAGAGGUGGUGUUUUAGGAACUUACAUAUUAAUGUGGCAUUAUGAUGUGAUUUGAUUGAAUGCAUGUGUGAAAAAGUUUUACAGUGUCAGUGUAUACUAUGAAAUUCAACUUUUUCUUAAAAUUCAAUUCAUUUAUGUUAAUGCUGGUUUUGCUUGUAUCAUUCUCAAAGAUCAGGUUAGCUAAGGAUUUAAGUUGUAUACACGGAUAGUGUAAUUUUUUUUUACACAUGCAUCAAAUCAUGAUGUGUGGAUACUUGAGAAACUUAUCAAUAAAAAUAGCAUUAUGCUGUGAUUUGAUUGGAUGGAUGUGUGAAAAAACUUUAAACUGUCGGUGCAUAGAAGUUAAACUCUUUUUUAAAAUUCAAUUCAUUUAGGUGCUUGAAAUUGUAGUGGAGUGUCAAUGUAGUGUUCUACAUUAUUAAUAUUUUAAAAUGAUAUAUGAAAUUGUAAAAUAAUUAGAUUUGUUUUUCAAUUGGUAUUUGUAGGGACUUUAAUGACGUUAAGUUUGUAAUAUCGGGGUGAAUUUGAAACUGAGUGAAUAAUGUCGGGGAUGUAAGUGAUAAUAGAUCAUUGAAUGUGUGAGGGGGUGUUACUAUAGUCUCUGGGUGUAUCAAGAUUACAACAACAUACUUGGUUGAGUAUUAUAUUAGUCAGUUUGGCCCUUACAUGUGUCUUUCGUUAGUUACUUUGAUACUCAUACGUGUCUUCCGUAUGUAGGUGAGGUGAUGGAUUCGAAACUGAGUGAAUAAUGUCGGAUGCAAUUGAUAAUAGAUCUUAACAGAAGGAUGAACUUUAUUAAUACUUUGCAGAGAAAGUAGUCAUUUUAAUCCUAGAAUCUCUGGGUGUAUCAAGUUUACAAAAACAUACUUGUUUGUGAUUUAAUAAUUCAGUUUGGUCUGUGCAUGUGUCUUCGUUAGUUAGUUUGAUACUCAUAUGUGUCUUCCGUUAGCCAGUUUGGUCCAUAAAUUACUAACAGAAGAUACUCAGAGAAGUUUUUGUAAUUUUAAUACAUUCAUGGACUAAAGGGAUCAAAACGAUGGUUUACUUUAUUUGGCAACUCCAGAUAUCAUUUUGAAAUAUUGACAAUGUGGAGGACUAGGUUGAUAGGGUUCAACAGUUUCAGGGGCAACUUGAGUAUUUACUCAUUCAUUCGCAAGCUUAUUAUUUCAUAUUCCAGCACCUUAUUAUAACUUGACAUGUUGACGUUUCUAUCCAACUUUCUGUAAAUUACUUCAUUUUGCUGUUUCAUUGCUAGGUAUCUCCAAAAGCGUGUGGUCACACACAGGGGAGGAAAGUGGUAUCGAGAGAAGAGGCAGUCAUGCGAAUCAAAGCUGCGGUUGAUGCCAGAAAUGAGAGUGGAUCUGAUAUUGUGAUUGUGGCUCGCACCGAUGCGCGCCAAGCCCUGUCUCUUGAUGAGGCACUCUAUAGGUCAAGGGCAUUUGCUGAUGCUGGAGCUGAUGUUGUUUUUAUAGACGCACUUGCUUCCAGACAAGAGAUGGAAGCUUUUUGUCAAGUUUCUCCUCUUGUUCCAAAAAUGGUAUGUUUCUAUUAUGUCCAAGUGAUAAUAGUAAAAGAAGAAAGGGAGUAAAAGAAGAAAGGGAAAUGAUAUGCUAUACUAAUAUUUAUGUAUGGUUGUGUAGGCCAAUAUGCUUGAAGGAGGAGGCAAAACACCGAUACUCACUCCUCUUGAACUUGAAGACAUUGGUUAUAAAAUUGUUGCCUAUCCCCUUUCCUUGAUUGGAGUUUCUAUACGAGCAAUGCAGGUGACAUGGUCCUCCCUUUCUUUAACCUUGAUAAUCAUUAAUUGAUUGUUUUUAUGCUGAUGAUAAGUUCAUGAUUGAGAUAAUACAUGCCAAGAGCCACUUUUUUUUAUUAGUCUGAGUAUUGUUUGUUUUGUUUUUACAUGUCAUGAUACCCAAUUCCAGCAUAGGUUAAAUGAACCAAAACACUGGUUAGCUUGAUAAACCUAGCUAUCACAGUAAUACAUUUAGCAAAACAAUAUCCAAGAACUGGUUCUAUUUUCAAAUUCAUCAAAUUUUCAGAAGAGUUUCUAUUGUAAUUAUAUUAUCUCACAAUUAUAAACAUCUGCUAAAGGAUACACACACACACACACAAUCCAUGAGCAGUAUAGGAAACAAAAUAUACCAUCCAACCAGUGUUAGUCCACUUUUCCCUGGAAUGAAAUUUUUAUUAGACUAGAAUAGAUGCGCCUAGGAUGUUACUUCUGCUAAUGACUUUAUGAUUUUAACUUGGAUUCCCCAAAAUCAUAAAUCACAAAAUCAUACUUGGUUGUUUAUGGCAGAUCCAUUUCAAAUGGUUAACAAUUUGUCAAAUCACAUACAUAUUAAAUUAAUUUCAUAUCCGAAUGUUAAUGAUCAUAUUCAAAAUCAUUACUCAUCACAAAUCCUUAAUGGCAGGCCAACGUAAGAGUGUUGUAGUAUUGAACAUUUUUUAUUUUAUUUUUAAAAUAAAAAAAAUCACUUUUUCUGAUAUUUCUUUGAAGUAUUCUUUAGAUUUUUAACAUUUUAAUGUCUAGGAUUUUCUGUGUAGGAUGCGCUGACUGCUAUUAAAGGAGGUCGUAUUCCUCCUCCAGGAAGCAUGCCAACUUUUGAAGAAAUUAAGGAUACUUUAGGUUUCAACGCAUAUUAUGAAGAAGAGAAGCGUUAUGCUACAAGUACCGAUCAGCUGCUUUCAAAGAGAGGUUGGAGAGACAAAAAAUCUUAAAAGAAAAAUAAGUAAAUAGAGUCAAGUUAAAUACACUCUGCAUCUUUUUGGGUCAAUUCAUAAUCUCAUAUAACAAAUUAUUUCCUAAUAGUUGAGUUUGAUACUUUACUACCAUAAAGGCUUGUUGGACUUGGUGGGGGGGUGGGGGGAAGGGGUCGGCUAAUCAUGAAAUAUGUGGAGGGAACCUUUUCAGUUUUCUCCAGAAAGGCCUGUUGGUGUGAAGUAACUAUAUCUCUAAGAUAUGUUUAACACCGAAUAUCAUUAAUUAUUAGCUUUGUAUUUUAUUGGCUUGAAAAUAGCCAUCUACUUAAUUAUAGAUAGUUAGUCGUGGUAAAUUUAGACAGCUAUCUUUUGUUAAGUGAAUUUAUCAGUUUUUCUUCUAAAGGAAAAUCAAAUACAGAAGAAAAGAUCUCAUGCUAAUAUUCACACGAUAAAUGUAUACAUUGUACAUUCUAUUCUCGCAUUUUCAAUACAAUUACUAAUUAGUUAUUUAUCAGAGAGCAGUAGCGUAUACAGUAUACAACAGAGAGAGCAAGUUGAUACAGAGCAGACAAGUCAAACUAUCGAAGAUCCAAUUGUGGAAGUUAUAACACCUGAUGUGUACAAUAAAUAUGGUGCAGAUGGUUCAAGGGACCCUUUUUCUGGAAUCUGGUCCCGGACUCUGAGAAUUAAAAUAACUGGCAGAGAUGGAGUCGAGAAACUUGAUCUCCGAAUUCCUGUAAGUGAUCACACUCUCCAACUGAACAAAUUUAAGAGAAAAUGAUGGUUUAUUCAUGUUUACUGGUCAAAACUAAGUGCAGUCAACUGUUUUUCACUUAUGCCAUGAUAGAUUUUAUACUAUGGUCAAGAUGCUGUGAGCAUUUUUUUAUGGAGUUCUGGAACAUUGUGGAAUCCAGUUACAUGAUUUGUUUUUAUUCAUAAGUCAUAACCAAUUUCUUUCACUUGUCAAAAUCCGUAUGUACUUCUUUAUUUUUCACUUUAGUUGCUAGCCUCUUAUGCAUGCAAUGUGGCGUAUUGCCUUUCACCUCAUGUUGUAGUUAUGCAUAUUUUUUGCAUGGUUAUGAUCAAUCAGUUAUUCAUGAUUAUGUGUAUGAGUUUGGUUUGAACAGACUGUCUUGUUGAGUUUUGCUCCAAACAUGAUUUCCUAUUCCAUUUUCACAUAAUACAUAUACUUUGCUAUUUACAGGCUGGAUUUCUGGAUGGAAUCACAAACACAGUUCCUGGUACUGUUGCUAUUUAUAAAUGCUUCUACAAUGUAUAAUCACAAUUCAUGUUUAUUGAUUUUGCUAUGACUCUAUGCAGCUUUGGGUGGGGUAAACCUCAAAAAACUAUUGGAUGAUGCAACAGAUGAAAUUGGGGGAAAACUGUUAGAUUUUAAUGACAGAAUGGGUGACAGGAUUCAAGUAUUUCUGGAGUGAUUCCACAUUGCUUUCUCAACUCCAAGGGUAAUUUUCUCUCAACUACUGUAGUUAAAUUUAAGAUAAACGAAGCUAUUCAUAUGAUAAAAAAGCUAUUACAUAUAUAGAGAUUGUUGAAUAAAAUAUCCUCCUAAAAAAUGUUAACAAGAGAUAAAAAAAUAUUAAUUAAGCUUGUGUGAGGUGUGGGCGGAAAGGAUCAUGAAUGUUAUACAGGAUUGAAGCAAAAUGCUUCAACUUAUAUCCCAAAGAAUCUCGGAGCUCUCUUUAAAGAUAUAAGAAUUGUGCUCCAACUUAUGCACUCCAUAAUACCUUAUACAGCUCAUAGGUACAGAUUUUGGCUUUCCUUUUUUGAAGUUUAUUCAUGGCUCCCUAACCAAACUUUUCAUAACAGUCCAAUCAUUUAUUCUUUGUUCCUGUUUGGGGGUGGUCAUAUUCUGGAAGCUCUUUGCAUAGUUUAGAUAUUUUGUCGGUCUUGAGGUGCUUAGUAGUAUUAUAGAUUUAUAUGAAUGAAAAGCUAUAUAAUGUCUCCCUUGGUGGAAUUUAUGAUCAGUCUCUCCUAAAGAUCAGUUGUAUGAUCAACUUGUGGAGCAAUUCAGCUUGUGUAACCACAAUUUUGGACUAGUAACUACCGUAACACCAUAGCCAAAUUUGAAGGGAGUUAGAGACCAUCCAUGCUUAGUAAUGAUGUGAUGAUCAAACUUCCUAUAAUAUCAUGUCAGGGAAUUUUCUUAUAUUGGUUGAUGAUGCUGUUCCAGGAAAUUUAUAGCUCAUGCUGAUGAAGGUGAUUGGUGGAAGCUAUGGAUUGAAGCCUAAUCGUGACACAACAGCAUGGUUGUAGUGUAGUUUAAAAUAUCGCAUGGAUUUAUCAUCCACAUACCACAUAAAGAACCAGUUUAGUCAGGAACUACAAUCAUAAAUGGGAAAUUUCUUCAAACAAUAUUUGAUAUCAGUGGGAACUUUGCCUCAUUUUCUCUCAACAUAUUUUUAUAUUUUCUUUGUUCCCAUGGAGAGACCCCAAUAUCCUUUCCAUGGUAGUUCUUGCGGCAAAAUAUAUGUCGGACUUCUCAAGACUAGAAAAUUUCCUCUUUUUUUUUUGCAAUCCUUAUUCUUGUUAUUAAUGUUGUUUGUUGUACUAAUUAGUAAGAUCCUUGUACAUCUGUAAGGGCCAUUUUUUAUGCAUAUUUUCAGUACAUUUAUUUACACUAGUUAUUUUGAUUUUGAAUCACAUACAUACUAUAACAUAAAUGUGUGCCUUCAGAGUUUUAAGCCAGAAUAUUAACAAAAGAAAUGUUUUUUUUUAUCUUGCAGUGUUUCAUCUUACAAGCAUAUAAAUUAUGUAAAGAAAUGAUUUUCCAAGAGUGAAACCUUGUUGCGUCAAAAAAAAAAAAUUAUGUUGCCAAUGGGGGUUGGUACUUUACUUAACAGGACCUCCUCCUGAUAAUGACCUCCCUUGAAGGAAGAAAAAAUGGGUACCUCCUGAUAAUUUUAUUAAAAAACUAUAAAUAAAUUAUGUGUACAUAUGAGGUUUACUUAAAGAGUGUCCUUAUUAGGGUUUGAACCCUGAACGAUAGAAAAAAAAGUUUAGUUUUUAUUAGUUCACUACUAUUGUGUUUGCACUAUGGUGUUCGUUGGACUGAAAACCAAAAGAACCAGCUGUUAGGAAAGAAGAAAUAACUGAGAACUAUUGUGUUCACACCUCAUGAUUCCUCCUCUAUCCACAACCAAAACUCUUACACUUUUGUUUCAAGAAUUUCUCCAACCAGCACAUUGUCUUCAAAGACUUUUAUAGCAAACAAUGGGACUUGAAGUUUUAAUCUGCAAAUUUCGGUCUGGUGUGGAGUGUAUUAGUCGUAUGUGAUCUAGUGUUAAUGCUUCUUAUGUGUGAUUAUUUUUUGGAGUUUUAGUGAUCAAGUCUCAUCUCAAUCUGAGGAAGUAAAUUUGAAUUGGUGUAUAGAAGGUUUAGGCCAAGUCAGUUAGACAUUUAUCCUUUUAGUUUAGUAUCAGUAGGCUUUUGUACAAUAGCAGCAACUAGCCAUUUAUCCUUUCCUGCUUCUCAUGAUUCCUCCUAUAUCCACAUCCAAAACUCUUAUAUUUUGUUUCAAGAAUUUCUCUAACCAAGUCAGUUAGCCAUUUACUUCCUAUUUAUCCUUUAGUUUUAGCCUCAGUAGGCCAAGUCAGCCAUUUAUCCAUUUAUCCUUUAGGUAAUUUUAUCCUUCUGCUACACUAUAUUUCUAUCUUUAAAAAAUACCGAAGUUCUAUACCCCCAUACAAACCGAAUUCUUCUCAUGUCGUGUACCGUGUACCGACGCGAACCGCGUAUUAUGUGACUAUGUGCCAGGGUAAUCUCAAAUGAAUUCAAUUAUCAAUCAACAAUUUCUGUCUAAAUUCACCCAGGAAUUACUAAAUUUACCCAAGGUUGUAAAGCAUUCAAGAUGGCCUUCGAGAGUAUUUCUGAUGACUUGUUGGUUAGCUAGGUUAUCAUUCAAUAAAAAAAUCCCUUUUAUGCUGUUCACAUAACAUAUUUUUUCCACGUUAAAUCUUUCUAUAUCCAACAGAUUGGUAUCUAGAGCCUUCUCCUUGGAGGGACUUGUGAGUGAAGUGAGUGAAACCCACCAUAAAAGCUUAAACACUAUUUUCAAUUCAUCAAUCAGAUGGAUUCUGAAACAUCCUACAAAGCCCUACCAUUAUCUGUGUUUGAUGGUGAAAACUAUCAUAUAUGGGCAGCAAGGAUGGAGGCGUAUUUAGAGGCAAAUGACCUCUGGGAAGCUGUUGAGGAGGACUACGAAGUUCUUCCUUUGUCAGACAAUCCAACAAUGGCUCAGAUAAAAAAUCACAAGGAAAGGAAAACAAGAAAGUCAAAAGCAAGGGCUACUUUGUUUGCUAUUGUCUCAGAAGAAAUCUUCACCAGAAUUAUGAUCAUCAAAUCAGCAUUUGAAAUAUGGAAUAUCUUCAAAAUUGAAUAUGAAGGAGAUGAAAGAAUUAGGGGGAUGCAAGCACUUAAUUUGAUUGGAGAAUUUGAGAUGCAAAAGAUGAAGGAGUCUGAAACAAUUAAAGAGUAUGCAAAUAAACUUAUUAGCAUUGCUAACAAAGUAAGAUUGCUUGGUUCUGAAUUAUCUGAUUCAAGAAUAGGUCAGAAAAUACUUGUGACUGUCCCUGAAAGAUUUGAAGCAACUAUAACUUCCUUGGAAAAUACAAAGGACAUGUUAAAGCUUACCGUGGGAGAGCUUGUAAAUGCUAUGCAGGGCCAAGAACAAAGAAGAAUGAUAAGGUCUGAAGGUUCAGUGGAAGGAGCAUUACAAGCUAAAUUAAAGAACUACAAUGGUGGAAGGAAUGAGAAAAGAAACCAGAGCAGCAAUAUAAGUCUCUUUUCACCCUAUCCAUACUGCAAAAAAAAAAAUAACCAUCCACCAAACAGAUGUUGGUGGAGACCAGACGUAAAAUGUCACAAGUGUGGCCAGUUAGGACAUGUGGAAAGAAUAUGCAAGGCUCAACAUCAGGGAGAAGCUAAGGCUGCUGAAGAUCAAACUUUGGAGGACCAACUCUUUGUAGCAUCAUGCUUUGCCACCAAUACCACCAGAGAGAGUUGGCUCAUAGAUAGUGGUUGCACAAACCACAUGACUUAUGAUCGUGAGCUCUAUAAAGAUUUGGACGAGACAACUAUUUCCAGAGUCAGAAUUGGAAAUGGCGUACUUAUUGAAGUAAAAGGCAAGGGAACAGUUGCAAUUGAAUGCCUUUCAGGUUUGAAACUAAUUUCUGAUGUCUUAUAUGUUUCUAAAAUUAAUCAAAACCUUUUGAGUGUUACUCAACUGCUAGAGAAUGGUUAUAAGGUGUUGUUUGAGGAUAAAAAAUGUGUGAUUACAGAUGCAAACAAUAUAGAAAUGGUCAAUGUUCAAAUGAAAUGCAAGAGCUUUUCCUUGGAUUUGAUGAAUGAGGAACAACAUGUUGCUGUACAUAAGGAAGGAAGGAUUCAGGUUGGUGUUGCAUUCUUCCACCAUCCAUCUAUCGUGAACGCUGCGGGAGUGAUGAGUUCCAUGGAUACAAUCAAUGGAAACUCUACAAAAUCUGUCAAAGAACCUGUUUCAGGGGAAAUCCUGAAACUAAAACAGGAUGUUACUGAAGUAAAAGCACAAGUUGAUGCCAUAUGGGAACAAAUGAAUAAAGGAGUGUCCAAUAACGUUAUUAACAGUUUUAAAAGCAAGCCUAUAGAAUCAAGAUCAAAAUCUUCUGAUGUGGAUGUUGUCCUUGAACAAAUCAAGAAGAAAACAGAACCUGAAAUUUUUGUAGGCUAUAGCUCAUCUUCAAAAGUCUAUAGAAUCUAUCUUCCACAAAGCAACAAAGUAAUUGUUAGCAGAGAUGUCAAAUUUCUUGAGUCAAAUAUUUGGAAUUGGGAAGAUUGUGAGAAGUUUGAAUUUCAGGAGGAGAAUGAAGAUGUUGAUGGUGAACCUGUUAGAGGAACUAGAUCACUUUCAGACAUCUACCAAAGGUGCAACGUUUGUCAUGGAACCAGAAGGAUAUGAUAAAGCUAUAUAUGAAUUCUUGACACAAAUGCUUGGUGUAUGCAGUUUCAGAGUCAAGGAGGAGUGUUGACUGGAUGACUAUGAAACUACGGUUUUAAGUUCCUAAUUUUUAGGAUCUAAGUAUCUUUUUUAUGUUAUUGUUAGGAACUCUCUGAUAUGCUCUAUUUGUUACCAGUUUUUUAGGCAUUUAGUUUUCAAAUAGUAGUUUCUUUAUGCAUUAUUUUAGGCUUUUCUUGAUGUAUAAAUAUGAUGGUUAUCAUUCAAUAAAAAAAUCCCUUUUAUGCUGUUCACAUAACAUAUUUUUUCCACGUUAAACCUUUCUAUAUCCAACAAAAUGUGUUCCAUUACUGUUCAUUCUGUUACUAAGGAAUGGAAUUGGAGAAACUUGAUGGAUGAUUGGCUGUCCUUUGGUAUAAACCAACCAAUUUUUGAAUUUUUUUCACUGAAUCAAAGUUACUGAACAUCAUGAAUAGAGUAUCUUUAUUAUCCAAUUGUAUUAGGAAAUAGAAUAUGAUUCUCUAUAGUAAUAAUAGACUGACUAUUUAUGGUUUUAUUGCCGAAAAAGUAAAUCAUCCAAUUAAUCGAAAGUUUAGAAAAUUUUAAUUUCCCAUUUUGAAGAGGAACUUUUAAGUAAAAGAUUUUUAGUAAUUUUUCUUUUCUUCCUUUUAAACAGAAAAAUGAUACCGAGUUUGAUUAAUAAUUACAGAAACAAUACAAUGGGGAAUGGAAAGACCGAGUAAGUAGCCAUAAAUGGGGUUUGUUUACUAUAAAACUGAAGACCGCCCUCAAGCUCGAGAAUUUAUGUUGUGAGGAAUGAAUGCUGUUGAAAGCAAAUCUAUUGAAUGGAUAUCAACAUGUGAUGCAUUAUUAAUUUUGAGUUAGGUCCUUAGCUUUUACUUUCUUGGUUAGUGUCCAAUCAACGACACCAUUUGUUUAAUACUUAUGAUUUGGCCUACUCGACCGACAUUUUCAGCUUGUCUAUUUUCUAUCUUAAAGUUUAUACGCAUUUGUAGCUGUAAAAUAGAAAACAGACAAGUUUAAUGUGAAAACAUUCCCCAAUUAACUAUAAUCUUUCACAUUCCACUAUAAUCAUUCCACUAUAGACAAAAUAAACAAGGAUAUAACAUUUUCGUAUAAUCAAAACACAAUUAACUUCACAAUAAUUAUUUACUUAUUACAUCAUUGAGGAUGAAGUUUUAGCAAAACAAGCUUGAGAAUAUGCAUGCAGUCAGCACCACCUAGCUUCCUUCAUCAUACAAAACAUUCCCCAAAUUCCUCCCUUAUAUUUAUUGACUUGCUACUUCCUCUUACAUAUAUGUCUUGCAUCCUUCCACUAUUAUCCUCUAAUGAGCAUAUUACAUACUUGCCUAAUCAUAUGAUCAAUAUGAAUGAGCAUAUCAAAUUAGUAGUAGACAAUAAAGAAAGCUCUAAGGGAAAAAUAAUCUAAAAUGUAUCAAAAGGAUAGAAUCAACAAAAAUUGUUUAUAAGUAGUUAUUAACAUAAUUGAUACUAAAAUUAUUACAAUAUAUUAAAAAAAAAAAAAAACAAAUAAAAUGUAUCAUGUCCACCCACGUCAUUUUUAUGUAAUAACAACAACAAACAGACUCGGAGACUUUUAACAAAGGCAUAUGAUUGGUUCAUAUGACUUUGGUUGCGGCAUGUAAGUAGUUAAAGAUUACUACUUUUAACAAAGGCAUAUGACUGGUUCAACCAGUUCAUGCGGGUUGAAAAACGAUUACUACUUUGAUGACUAAAAUAUCAUUUUGAUAAAAUCAAAAUUAUUUAACUAGUUAAAGAAAUUUAACAAAAAAAAAAAUAUACAUUUGGAUUAAAAUAUAUAAUUCAAUAUCUCUGAAUGGAGGGUUAUGUAUGUUUUGUAACACAAGAGAAGGGAUUGUAAUAUAUGAUAUAUCAUCUUUUAAGGGACAGAGAGAAUAGUAUUUUACUUUAAAUUAAAUUAAGGUUAUGCAUUAAUAUUUCUGGGACGCUCUUAUGUAUUAUUUCACACUAAUGCAUGAAUGUUUAAUAAUGAAAAAACCAAGUGUAUUGAACUAGAGCUAAAUAUAUUAACAAUAUUCACUCAACGUGUCACAUAAUUAAAAAAAUUGACUCAUCGAGCCGUAUAAAUUUAAAUAUACAAUCAUAUGACAUUAGGGUUUAAAUCCAAAGAAUCUACACAUUAUAAGGUUAAAAUCUAUUUUAUUUACAAAGAUAAAUCAAAACUCGUUUAAAUGACAGAAAAAAUCGCUAUUUAACGGUAUUUUAUUUUGUAUAAAUUAUGAGGAUUUAAACAUACACUAAUUGACUCGGUCAUUUUAUUUUUCCCUCAAGAUUUAAACAUGUUUAUGUAUAUUCAAACAAGCACCUUGCCAUCUUGCAUCAAAACACCUCUCAAACCUUAUUCAAGAGUGUCACAAUAAAGCACAAAAAGCUUAGUUGAACCUAACAAUAUCAACACUUAAGUUGCUGCAACUUUUCAAACUUGAUUUGCCUUCGAUGAAUCAUUCAUUGAAUCUGAAUUUCCUUUAGUAACCUACCUAUUCUAACAAAAAAAAUCAAUAACCAUGCUUGUUUUUUAUCAUCAAGCAGCUUCUACAUUCAACAAAUCGACUGCAAUUCUACCUGACCAAGGAAACUCACUUGAUAUGUUUCUUUCUUGCUAUACUUGAUCGUUUCUGUCAAGCAAGCAAACUAAUUAACACACAUGUAUGUGGAGAAUAGUUCCAUGGUCUCUUGUACUCGUGGUUCGCCGGUAUCAAAUUAAGGUCACCAAGAUUCAGAGAUCGUAAGAAUACUCUGAAACUACUGAUGUUUCAUAGGUCCUAGUUUUGAAUUUUGAUGUUUCCUACCCCAAAAGAAGAAUAAGUCGUAAAAUUAUUCAAAUGGAGGACAACACAACUAGUGAAAAAUGACAAGAAAAUGGUUGGAUUCCCGUUGCAUUAUUGCAUAUACACUGGCAUCCCGUUGCAUAUUUAGCCUACCACCUUCCUUAUGUAAUCUUGAUGAAUUUUUUUAAUCAAUAAAUUAAAAAGCUCAAUCACGUUAAAAUAAGAAAUUAAUCAACAAAGCCUUGAAAGAUAAACCAUUUAUUUGAUAUGCUUAAGUUUGAGGCAGAUGUAAAAGAGCAAAAUGUGAAAAAGAAUAUAUUAAUAUAUCAAACCACCUGUUGGUGUUCAAAAAAUAUGAGGAACAUGUAAAGGAAGCAAUAACCCAAGUAAGGUUACUCUAUCCCGUCACUGGUACACAACACUGAUGCUCAAGCACCCUAAAGAAGGGUGACCCCAAAAAAGAAAAGAAUUGUAGUAGCACAUUUAUAAGAAUAAACAUACACCACACUAGGUCACUUUACAGAAAAUUGCAACUUUAAUGAUACACUGCUAUAAAAUCCGAAUGUUGAUGUGGACUACUAGUAGGCACUGGUAUUGAUAUGGCUUCUCUCAGCUUGUAGCAAAACAAUCAACAAUACUUCACCUUUCCAUCUAUGAGAAUAAUGUUCAAUUCAAUCUCAUCGGUAUCCACCAUAUGGCUGUUGAGCAUAACCACCUGGACGCAUCAUGUUAUUAUUAUAGUUACCUGGCAUGUUGGAACCAGGAGGCAUUCCAUUAGGAGGUUGCAUCUGGUAUCCUUGCCCCAUGCCCAUUCCCCCCAUACCCAUACCCAUACCCAUGGAUGGAUUCAUGCCUCCUCCGUAACCUCCCAUACCCAUACCACCGGGAGCAUUGCCCAUACCCAUACCACCGGGAGCAUUGCCCAUUCCCAUACCCAUGCCCAUACCAGAACCCAUCAUCGAAUUUGGAUUAGGUCUAAGAGCACCAGCGCCAGCACGACCUAUGCCUGAACCUGAUCCCAUAGCUUUACCCAUAUUUACAGUUGAUGUUACAGGUGUGUUAGUGGGCUUCUCCAUUCUCUUUUCCUUCCUAUUAAUGGAUUCGAAGUCAAUGCCAAUAUCUGCUAAUGGAUUAGUUUUAGCUGCAAGUGAAGAGCAUAAUAGUUAACAGUUAGUCCAGAUAAGAUCAACAUUAUAAUUGAAGUAUAUAGCAGAAACUGAAGCAUUGAUAAGGUAUAAGCACUCACGUCCAGAUAUGUUUAAAUUAACCAGUCCCCUGCUUAAUGUGUCUGCCCAAACUGUUGAUUUUGUUUCAAACUUAUCUUUGGAUGGUUGAGAAACUAAAGAAUUUGGUGCCGCUGAAACAGCAUACGGCGAAGCAUUGGGAGCAGGCACUUGAGGGGUAUAUGAUGAGCUAAAGGGAGCUGCAUUCCCUUGUUGUCCAAAGAAGCUCUGGUUGUUGAACUGUGAUGCUUGAUCAGUUGGAGAGGGAGAAGCAGUAGAUCCUCCAUGAUGGGGAAAGUUUGUGAUUUGUGCCGGUUGUGCUGUUGGAGCUUGGGGAGUCAUUUGUGAAGGAAAGCCUGUUGAGGAUCCCUGUGGCAAGUAGUUCCCACUGUUCAUAGAUCCGUUAUAUCCAUUUUGUGAUUGAGAAUACAUGUUUGGAGCUCCUGGAGUAAGAGAUGUAUCCAGGGAGUACAAUCCACCGUAGGUAUGACCGCUUGUUUGUGCAGUAGAUUGACCGCCUUGAGAAGCAAAAGGUGGCUGCAUAGAAUGUCCAGUAGAUGACGAAAACCCAGGCAUGCCAGGUUGACCAGAAUGAGAAGGAAAAGGUUGCUGUGCAUAUGGACUGGUAGAGGCUGAAAAAGAUGAAUUAGAAGCUGAAAAGCCUGGCUGCGAAAAUUGACCAGUUGGAAGGGUUUGUGCAGGUUGAUUGGUUGCAGCUGAGAAACCUUGAUGAAGAGUAAGUUGACCAGUUGGUUCGGAAAAUGAUCCAGAUGAAGUUGAAAAGGAAGGUGAAGGUUGGCCAAAAGAAGGAGCUGAACUGUUCUGCUGUGAUGUAAUCUCAGGUAAUGGUGCAGGAGGAAGAAUGUCAGCUAGAAUAUCAGUUUCCGAAUCUUGGGACAAAAACUGGGAGUUAGCAGAGAAAGGUUGAGUGUCACUGGGAGCAGAUGCAGAGUAUGGUACAAUAGAAAAUGAGUCCCCAAACCCAAAGUUAGACAUGUCAGCAUUAAAACCAUCUGAUUGGGAUGGUUCAGUAGUCUGAGGUGCAUGGUGUUGAGAUGGAGCAGU
This 87184-nucleotide long non-coding RNA is filed under the name Medicago truncatula (barrel medic). RNAcentral's name for it is "long non-coding RNA (MTRU_LNC004611)". The stretch from base 72591 to 72662 matches the Rfam family "MIR2629 microRNA precursor family". The record is from RNAcentral. Lineage: Eukaryota; Viridiplantae; Streptophyta; Magnoliopsida; Fabales; Fabaceae.